This 72867-nucleotide long non-coding RNA is filed under the name Gossypium barbadense (sea-island cotton). RNAcentral's name for it is "long non-coding RNA (GBAR_LNC009781)". The record is from RNAcentral. Lineage: Eukaryota; Viridiplantae; Streptophyta; Magnoliopsida; Malvales; Malvaceae.
AGGAUCUUAUUAAUUUAAGAAAAAUUGUCCUUUCGAAUUGCAAGAAUUUAAGGAAGAUCCCUAAUCUAUUAGGAGCCGUCAACCUUGAAAUCCUUUGCUUUAAUGGGUGCAACAGUUUGGUUGAACUUCCUGGCUUUAGUGAUUUGGCAUCUCUCAAAACGCUUCAGCUUCAUGGAUGUUAUAAACUUAAGAAGUUUCCUGAGCUCCCAAAUGAUGUUGUUGAAAGCUGGACUGCAAUGCAACAUGGAGCCAGAAGCAAGCUACUAUCGAGACCAGCAGCUAUCGAGCUCAACUCAUUUUGCUUGGUGUGCAGGAAUGGUUUUCAGACCAAAUGAAGCAACUGAUAUAGCUGCUUUGUUUUGAUGUAACUUAGUUCAGUUUAAUUGUAACUAGCUUUAAUAGUUAGUUGGAUUAAGUUUGUGAUUGGAUUGAUGAUGUAAAAGCUGAUAUGUCAGCUUAUUUUGUAUUUGACUCUAGCAUGUAUUAGUUUAGUCUAAGUGGGAGUAGUUAUGUCAUUAGGUAUCUGUCAAAUGAACCAAAAAAAUUUGUAGCUCUUUUAUAUAUUCAAAUCUUGAAUGAAAAAUGUAAUGUUCAGUUACAACUUUGCUGAGUAUUCAUUUUUUAUCAUUUUUUGCUUUGCUUUGCUCUUUCUUUGCUUCGAUUCUUCUUGCUUCAGUCUUGCAAACACUGUGUUGCAACUUUGUUUGAUGUUUACUGUUGCCAUUGUUCCAACAAAUGGUAUCAGAGCAGCCCGAGUCUUUGAGGGGCCUUUGUAUGCAAUCUGUUGUGUUCGAAUCAAAACCAACAGUAAGUUCAAAAUUUGGUAAGAUUGAAGCACUUAAAAUCAGUUUAACAGAAUGAGUUUCACUCCACCACCUCCACUAGUGUUCACUGGAGAAAACUAUCACAUUUGGAUAGUUAAAAUGAAGACUUAUCUCCAGGCACAUGAUCUUUGGAGUGUGAUCGAGAAUGAUGCUGAACCACCUCCAUUGAGAGCCAAUCCCACCAUUGCACAGAUGAGGCAGCAUGCUGAUGAGCGAGCCAAGAAGCAUAAGGCUAUGGCCUGCUUGCAAAAUGGAGUCUCUGAUGUGAUUUUUACUCGCAUCAUGGCCUGUGACUCACCAAAGCAGGCUUGGGAGAAGCUGAAGGAGGAGUUCAUGGGGACUGAUAAGACAAGGCAACAGCAAGUGAUCAACCUCAGGAGAGACUUUGAAAAUUUGAGGAUGAAGGAGUCUGAGACCAUCAAGCAGUACUCAGACAGGAUAAUAGCCAUUGUCAACAGCAUUAGGCUCCUGGGAGUGGACUUCACAGAGAGCAGAGUUGUUGAAAAGGUUAUUACAACUCUCCCUGAGAAAUUUGAGUCUAAAAUCUCUUCACUUGAGGACUCGAGGGACUUAUUAGCCAUUUCAUUGUCUGAGCUGAUAAACUCCCUGUAUGCACUUGAGCAAAGGAGGGCAAAUAGGCAGGAGGAGAAUCCUGAAGCUGCUUUCCAGGCUAAAGCCAGUGAAGGCUCGAGUGUGACUGCAAAAGGCAAGAAGCCUUGGCACAAUAGAAGGGUCAAGUCAGGAAGAGAUGAAGCAAAAAGGGUGUUCCCACCAUGUGUUCAUUGCAAGAAGACAACACAUUCAGAAAAGUAUUGCUGGUUUAGGCCAGAUAUUCAGUGUAGAAAAUGCAAGCAGUUUGGCCAUGUGGAGAAGGUAUGCAAGGGCAAACCAAGGGAGGCUGCUCUGCAACAAGCUAGACCUGCUGAGGACAUUCAAGCUCAAGAGGAGCAAGUGUUCACAGCAACUUGUUUUGUUGGUACAACCAAGGCCAGCAAUGAUUGGCUACUAGACAGUGGCUGCUCACACCAUAUGGCAGCAGAUGAGAAGCUGUUCAAAGGCCUAGACAGAAGCUUCCACUCGAGGAUUAGAAUUGGAGAUGGUAGGCUGAUUGAGGCUAAAGGCAAGGGCAGUGUGUUGAUUAGCACUGGUUCAGGUAAUAAACUGAUCUCAGAUGUGUUUUUUGUACCUGACUUAGACCAGAAUUUACUUAGUGUAGGCCAAUUAGUUGAAAAGGGCUAUACAUUGGUUUUUAAGGAUGGUUGUUGUAUUGUUCAAGACAUGAAUGGUCUGGAGUUAGUCACAGUCUCUAUGACUGAUAUGUGCUUCAUGCUGGAUGUUAGACAAAUAGAAAGAAAGGCAUACACCAGCCUUGUUGAAAGCACUGACUUGUGGCAUAGGAGACUAGGCCAUGCAAAUUUUAGAUCCAUCGAUCUGUUACAUAGGAUGAAUUUGGUUGAUGACAUUUCAAAAAUUGAAGUUAGUGGGAAUGUUUGUGAGGUUUGUCAGCUUGGUAAGCAGGCUAGACUGCCUUUUCCUGCUGACAGUGCUUGGAGAGCUCAAAACAAGCUCGAAUUGGUGCACUCUGAUGUUUGUGGCCCUAUGAGAACACCUUCAAUCAGUGAGAACAGGUACUUUGCCCUGUUUAUAGAUGAUUUAACAAGGUUGUGCUGGGUCUACUUCUUGAAGCAAAAGUCAGAAGUGUUUGAAGCCUUCUGCAAAUUCAAGGCUUAUGCUGAAAAUCAGUCAGGCUGCAAAAUUAGGGCCUUGAGGACUGAUAAUGGCUCUGAAUAUGUGUCUGAGAAAUUUCAGAAGCUUUGUGACAGUGCCGGGAUUCACCAUCAGCUCACAACAGUCUAUACUCCUCAACAGAAUGGAGUCUGUGAGAGAAAGAAUAGGACUGUACUGAACAUGGCCAGGUGCCUCUUGUUUCAAGGCAAGCUUCCAAGUCAGUUUUGGGCUGAGGCAGUCAACACCUCAGUGUAUCUGCUCAACAGACUGCCAACUAGAGCAGUCAAGGAUAAGACUCCUUUUGAGGCUUGGCAUGAAGUCAAACCUAUGGUAACACACUUAAAAGUGUUUGGCUGUGUAUGUUAUGCACUUAUUCCAGUAGAGAAAAGGACCAAGCUUGAGAGCAGAGCAACUCCAGGAAUCUUUGUUGGCUACAGCAGCAACAAGAAGGGCUAUAGAGUGUAUGAUCCUACAGCAAAGAAGGUUUUAGUCAGCAGGGAUGUAAAGUUUGAUGAGGAAAAGGUGUGGAAUUGGAAUAGUGUUGAGGCUGACUUGUCUGAAUUGGACCAGUUAGACUUGGUUGUUGAACCUGCAGAAGAAGGACUAAGUAAUGAUGAUGUCGAUGAUAUACCAGUGAGGGGCACCAGAACUUUAGCUGAUGUCUAUCAGAGGUGCAAUGUUGCUGUGAUUGAGCCCUCAGACUUUGAGGAGGCUGUUAAGAACAGAAGCUGGAUGAAAGCUAUGGAAGCCGAGUUGGAAAUGAUCAACAAAAAUCAGACUUGGGAGUUGGUGUGCAGACCAGAACACAAGAGGGUCAUAGGAGUUAAAUGGGUGUACCGGGCCAAGUACAAUGCUAAUGGCUCACUGAACAAGCACAAGGCCAGGCUUGUAGUGAAGGGCUACAGUCAACAGUAUGGUGUUGACUACCUAGAAACUUUUGCUCCAGUAGCAAGACUGGAUACAAUUAAGCUACUGUUUGCUUUAGCAGCUCAGAAGCAAUGGAGAUUUCACCAAUUGGAUGUCAAAUCAGCAUUCCUGAAUGGUUUUCUCAAGGAGGAGAUCUUCAUCGAGCAACCUGAAGGUUUUGAAGUUGCUGGACAUGAAGACAAAGUGUAUAAGUUGAUAAAGGCCCUCUAUGGCCUGAAACAGGCACCAAGGGCCUGGUAUGACAGAGUUGAUGCUUACCUGACCAAACUUGGAUUUGUAAAGAGCCUUAGUGAGCCUACUCUAUAUGUUAAAAGGUCAGAACAUGAAACCUUGCUGAUUGUUUCCUUGUAUGUGGAUGAUUUGCUUGUGACAGGGAGCAAAAUUGAGCUCAUUGAUCAGUUCAAGGUCCAAAUGCAGCAAGUGUUUGAGAUGACAGAUUUGGGGAUCAUGACUUACUUCCUUGGCAUGGAAGUACACCAGUUUGAUCGAGGUAUCUUCAUCAGCCAACACUCAUUUGCUUUGAAGAUCCUAGAAAAAUUUUGCAUGCAUAACUGUAAAGCAGUCAGCACACCUGUGGCUCAAGGAGAAAAGUUGACUAGCAGUGGUGAUCAGCAGAGGGUUGAUGAGAGGCACUAUCGAAGCCUAGUUGGUUGUCUAUUGUAUCUAACAGCAACCAGGCCAGACAUCAUGUUUGGUGUCAGCCUGUUAUCGAGAUUUAUGCAUUGUUGCAAUGAGGCACAUUUGAAGGCAGCAAAGAGGGUCCUUAGAUACAUCAAGGGCACUACUAGUUUUGGUGUAAUGUUUGAAAGUGGGAACCAACUGAAACUAGAAGGCUACUCUGAUAGUGACUGGGCAGGAUCUCUCGAUGACAUGAAGAGUACCUCUGGAUACUUCUUCACACUUGGAUCGGGCAUGUUUUGCUGGAGUUCAAAGAAGCAACAAACUGUUGCUCAGUCCACAGCUGAAGCAGAGUACAUUGCUGCAGUAGGAGCAGUCAAUCAGGCCAUUUGGCUAAGGAAGCUGCUUCAUGACCUUAAUGAAACUCAAGGUGAAGCAACUGAAAUUUGGGUGGAUAAUCAGUCUGCAGUUGCAAUAGCCAAGAACCCUGUGUUCCAUGGUAAGACUAAGCAUUUUAAAAUCAAACUGCACUUUGUUAGAGAGGCUGAACAAGUAAAGGAAGUCAGCCUUGUGCAUUGCAGCUCGGGAGCACAAUUGGCUGACAUAAUGACCAAGCCCUUAGGGGCUGCUCGAUUUGAAUCUUUGAGAAGUGCAAUUGGAGUGUGUUGCAUACAGUCCAAGGAGGAGUGUUGAAAACUGGACUGCAAUGCAACAUGGAGCCAGAAGCAAGCUACUAUCGAGACCAGCAGCUAUCGAGCUCAACUCAUUUUACUUGGUGUGCACGAAUGGUUUUCAGACCAAAUGAAGCAACUGAUAUAGCUGCUUUGUUUUGAUGUAACUUAGUUCAGUUUAAUUGUAACUAGCUUUAAUAGUUAGUUGGAUUAAGUUUGUGAUUGGAUUGAUGAUGUAAAAGCUGAUAUGUCAGCUUAUUUUGUAUUUGACUCUAGCAUGUAUUAGUUUAGUCUAAGUGGGAGUAGUUAUGUCAUUAGGUAUCUGUCAAAUGAACCAAAAAAAUUUGUAGCUCUUUUAUAUAUUCAAAUCUUGAAUGAAAAAUGUAAUGUUCAGUUACAACUUUGCUGAGUAUUCAUUUUUUAUCAUUUUUUGCUUUGCUUUGCUCUUUCUUUGCUUCGAUUCUUCUUGCUUCAGUCUUGCAAACACUGUGUUGCAACUUUGUUUGAUGUUUGCUGCUGCCAUUGUUUCAACAGAUGUUUCUUUCUUAGAUUUAGCCGAAACUGGGAUAGAAGAAGUGCCAAAUUCAAUUGAGCAUCUCGCUGGACUUGAAACAUUGUUAUUGGCAAAAUCAAAGAUAAAUAAUGUAUCGUGCAAUAUUUUGAAGUUGGAAUGCCUUCGUUAUCUGGAUUUUAGUCAUUGCCUAGUAGCCGAAUUCCCAGAAAUUCUACGAAGACCCGAAAGACCCGAGAUGCAAGAACUUAUCCGUCCAUAUUCUUUGCCACCCUAUUUCCCCCUCCCUGGUAGGAGAAAGUUUCCGAUUGUUCAUGUGCCCCCCAAAAUCCUAAAGUUCAAAAGGCUUGAAUAUUUGAAAAUGGAUCAUUGCGAGAGUCUUAAAUUACUUUCGGAGCUUCCACCAUAUUUGCUGUACUUGGAUGCACAUGGCUGCAAAUCGCUAGAAAAAGUAUCGUUUACAGAUCGAAAUCGAGACCUAUAUGAACUCUAUUCUUUUUACGGUGAAGAUGAGUUCUUUAUGAUAUUCUCUGAUUGCUUCAGCUUGAAUCAAGCUUCAAUUAAAAACAUUGAAGGAAAUGCCAUGCAAAAAAUUGAAUCACUUGUAAAGAAAUGGGGAUGUAAAUAUGAUUAUGGUCCAAAAUCAUUGUUUUGCUGUUUCCCAGGGAGCGAAAUUUCGGCCAGUAAAUUCGAGUAUCAGGGGAUGAAUUCUUCAUUGAAGUUGAAGAUAACCCCAAACGAGUUUAGUGAGAGCAGAGUCUUGAGUUUUGCUAUCUGCCUUGUGGUUGAUCUCACGCAUUGCCAUAAAUACAAUACAGAUCUUCGAGGUAUCUGUGAAUACCAACUAACGGCCUUCGAUGGUUGUUAUGAAAAGUUCGAAUGUGAGUGGGGUUACAAGCUAGAUUUUGAGUUACAUCGAAAGUACAUGGGUGAUCACGUGUUGAUUCUAUUCAGUGACAAACUGAUCAAAAAAGACGACGAUUAUGUGGAGGCAUCAUUUGAAUUUUAUAUAAAAAAAUGCUACUACAAAAGCGAUGCUGAAGUUGAUGACAUCAAGGUCAAAAAAUGCGGUGUUCAUGUAUAUUAUGUGGCUGAAAACUACAAAGGUCCAAUUAAUCCUUAUACCAUGCAAAUGUGAGGACCCGAUUAUCGGUGGCUCAUUGGAAUAACGUCAGCACUGGCCACGGGGGAAAACAGUAAAAUCACUAGGGACAACGGAAACAAAGGGGGAAAAAGGAGGAAAUUUGUUCAUGACUUAAAGGGUUGAUAUUGCAUCUCUUCCUUAGGUGCUAAGGUAAACUUUCCACCUAUUCCCUAUAUAUAUAUAUAUAUAUGUUAAUUUGAAAGAUUGCUUUUGUUUGAGACUGGUUUUUCAUAUAAUAACCUAUACUUUUAUGAUGGUGUAGGUGUUUGUUGUGGUAUAUCUUAGACAACAUAAUGAAUGGUCUCUUCAAUUUUCCCUCACUUUCAAUGCAUUUUGUUAUGUUUCUUAUGCAUAUCUUUUACAAUUAUAUGACUCAUUAUCAUCUGUAGAUUUGGUAGUCUAAGUGUUGUUUGAUAAUUCCUUAAAAAAUUUAAAUUGACUGAAAAUUAAUAUUUUUAAUGAUUUAAUUUUUUAAUCAUUUUUGAUAAUUCAUAAUAAAAAAGUAACUGAUAAAUUUCUUCUUUUUUCUUUUAUGAUGAUAAGUAGAUAAGGAGCUACUACGUAGCACUUAAUAUAAAAAAAAUUCAAUUCUUUUUAUCUUAUUUUCUUUGUUUUAACAUUUAAAAUUUGAUACUAUGAAAGGGAAUAAAGAUGGAAGUGACUGCUGUAAGCAAAUCAUAUGAGAAAAUAGAGAGCCAAGAGGGAACUAAUGGCAGAUCUUUGGAAAGGCCAUUAUACUUUGAGCUUUAGGUAUACAAAAUAUCAGAGGAACAUGCAAGCUUUUAAUUUUUUCUACUGAAUGUUUGCUUCACAUUUGUUCUUGAACUGAGAUAUUGGGACAGACUGCAAUUUGUGAACAGAUUGCUUUGUUUUUGGACCUACAGAGGAACCGUUUGCUCUUGAGAAUUUAGCCUUCCUAGAAAACAAAAGUAAAAACUUCAAAGUGAAGGGGUUGGUUUCAUGGUACAGCCAUUCGACUUGAUUAUCACAUCAUCUUGGGCUGAAUCUUGAAUGAAAUUUCCUUUUUUUCAAGAUUAUGAGAGAUUGAAAUUUGAUUUUUGUAAUUAAAAUUCUAGAGUUUUACUCUGUUUUUGGAUUGAAAGGAUGCAAUAGUGGAAUUGGUAGUCACUAAAUGAGUGCCAUUUAGCAACUUGCGGAUUUUGUUGUGUUCAAUCUACUUGGAUUUGCAGGGCAAAAUCUAUUGAAUCAAACUUUGCUUUGUUGUACAUUAGGUAAUUAAAAUAAGGAAAACUAUGUCAUACAUUGUGCCUAGCCUUUGUAGUAUUAUUAUUUUAUUCUAUUGUUAACCUUUUGCUCUUGGAAUCAAAUGUACAAAUAUAAAAAACAAAUUGAAGUAUAAUGAACUUGAGAAUUCUCUUAUUUUGAUAAUCAUCCCAAAGCUUAAAUCCCUUAAAAUUGGCACCUUUCCACAUAUUAGUAUUUAAGGGGUUUUCCCCCUAGAUUAGUACUUAGGAUUUUUGUGUAAAUUAUUUUGGUAACACCAUUAAAUUUAAAACACGUUACACUCUCAAAUCAUGACAUGUGUCAAUGAUGAUAUCAAUUUUAAUGACAUAAAAUUGGAAAUUUGUUUAAUAGUUUGUGAUAGUUUCUUUUUUUUUCUCAUCUCCAUUCCCCUCUUGUGUCUUUGUUCUUUUGUAGAUAUAGCAUAUAUUGUCCAAGAAGGGAAUUCUCCAUAUAUAUUAGUUAAUUUGGAGGAAAAUUGAACGGUAGUUGGAGAUUUCAAUACAGUAGCACAAUGAUUCUGCUUUGGAGUUGAUACAAUAUCCAUAGGGGAUUUUGGUGAGUACCAAAAUUCAGAUAUUAAAAUUCAUACUUAAUUCUUAUUGAGAGUUGACUUGUUAUUGGUUGGUUUUUUUUAAAAUCAUAGGACCAAUGGUGGACUCGAUUCAGCUUCAUUGUUUAGUUUCCAGCAUUGGUGUCAUCUAGUAUCUCAAUACUUGCUGCAUUUUUGUUGGGGAUUUAGCACACUUUAACCGGAUAAAGUAAGAACUUCAAUCUGGACUUUAAUAGCAGUGUAUUAUACCCGCGUAAAGAAUGAAGGAAAAAUACUUGGAGUUCAAGCUUUGAGCUACUGCCAGGAAUGGAGAACAGAAUUUAGAAGGCAAAGAAAGAUGGAGCAUAUGGAAGUAAAAUAUGAUGAUUUCAUUCAAAAGAAACUUUGGCUCAAAGCCAUUAUAUAUACUAGUCAUUGCUGGUCAAAAUAAACAAAUCCAUCACCUAAACACUACCUGACUCCACCUAUUACAUUGGAACUAGGUGAUAUUACUUGCACACUUGAACAAAGCUGGUAACCAGCUCUUUGACCAUCAAGUUACAUCAAUUUGUCAUCCAAGCAUAAUUAAAAAUGAACUAAAUUACAAAAAUAUUGUUAAAAAGUAACAAAAUGAAACUGAGAUGAAACAGUGGUAUUAACAUCUCCUGUUGCAUGUAUUUUACCCGGACAACUUAUGUGCAAAAAAAAAUCUUGCGUGCAUGAAUUUGCUUGAGCUGCAUGUGUUGCAUGGGAACUAACUUCAACACUCCUCCUUAGUUUCCAUGCUUGUAACACCUAGCUGCUUUCUCAGUUUUAUAAACCUUGACACACCAAGGGCCUUUGUGAAAAUGUCAGCAACCUGUUCCUCUGAAUUGCAAUGAAUCAGCUCCAGAUCUCGAGCUUGUUCCAUCUCCUUUAUCACAUGUAACUUGAUGCUGAAGUGCUUCGUUCUACCAUGAAAGACAGGAUUCUUUGCAAUUGCAACAACAAACUUGUUAUCACAAAAGAUUGCCUCCCUUUAAUGUAGGUUAAGAUCAGCUAGAAUUUUUCUCAGCCAAAUGGCUUGAUUUACAGCAUUGGCAGCUGCAACAUAUUCAGCUUCUGCUGUUGAUUAGGCCACCAUCGAUUGUUUCCUUGAGCUCCAACAAAACAUGGUUGAGCCAAGGGUAAAAGCAUAUCCAGAGGUGCUUUUCAUAUCAUCACUUGAACCAGCCCAGUCACUAUCAGUAUAGCCUCUCAAUUUCAAACUUUCAGCUUUGUUGAAUAACACACCAUAGUCAAGAGUGCCUUUGAUGUACCUUAGCACUCUCUUUGCUGCUUGAAAAUGCUGGACAUUACAGCAAUGUAUAAACCUUGAUAACAUACUCACAGCAAACAAGAUAUCUGGCCUAGUUGCUGUCAAAUAUAACAAGCAGCCAACUAGGCCCCUGUAGGUAGACUCAUUGACUGGUUCAUGAUCUCCUUGGCUUGAUAGCUUCAUUCCAACAGCAAUAGGAGUGCUUGUUGGCUUACAAUUCUCCAUUGAGAAGAAGAUUUUUCCUUCUGCUUGGUGCACCUCCAUUCCCAAAAAGUAUGUCAUUAGCCCCAAGUCAGACAUUUCAAACAUGUCCUUCAUUUUGGCUUUGAAUUCAGCCAACAUGUUUUGAUCUCCUCCAGUCACCAAAAGGUCAUCGACAUAGAGGGAUACAAUAAGCUGUAAUUCAGCUUCAUUCUUCUUGACAUAUAGUGUUGGCUCACUAACACUUUUGUUAAAUCCCAAACUGACCAAGUAACUGUUAAUUCGAGCAUACCAGGCUCUAGGAGCCUGUUUCAAGCCAUACAAUGCCUUCUUAAGCCUGUACACCAUUUGUUCUUUGCCAGACACAACGAAGCCUUGAGGCUGAUCAAUGUAGAUUUCUUCUUCAAAGAAGCCAUUUAGGAAUGCAGACUUGACAUCUAACUGAUGAAUGACCCAUUAUUUUUGUGCUGCUAAAGCAACUAGCAAUCUGAUGGUGUCAAGUCUGGCUACUGGUGCAAAAGUCUCCAAGUAGUCCAGGCCAUAUCUUUGACUGAAGCCUUUGACAACAAGUCUGGCUUUCAGCUUGUUUAAACUGCCAUCAGCAUUUUUUUCGACUCGAUAGACCCAUUUAACACCAAUGGUCUUUCUGUUGGUAGGCCUUUCAACUAGCUCCCAUGUUUGAUUCUUUUGUAUCAUCUUGAUUUCUUCAACCAUGGCCUGUUUCCAUCCUUCAUCAGCUUCAGCUUCUUCAAAACUGCAUGGCUCCAAUAUGGCAACUUGUGCUCUUUCAUAAAUUUCAGCUAAAGGUCUAGUGCCUCUGGCUCAUUCUUGUCUCAAUUCCAGUAUCUUUUUUCAUCAAAGAUCACAUCUCUGCUUAUUUUAAUUUUGUUUAUUACAGGGUCCAAGAUCCUGUAGCCCUUCUUGACCAUACUAUACUCGGCUAAAAUACCAGGAAUAGCUCUUUUGGACAACUUAUCCCUCUUUACAGCUGGUAUUUAGCUGUAACAUAGGCAACCAAAGACUUUCAUAUGAGCCAAUGAUGGCUUGAACCCAAACCAGGCCUCAAAAGGUGUCUUGUGAGCAAGUGCUUUGGUUGGAAGCCUAUUCUAAAUGUAGACAGCAGUAUUGACAGCUUCAGCCCACAUGGUCUUGGGCAAAUUCUUCUCAAAUAAUAAACAUCUGGCCAUAUCUAUCAAGCUCCUAUUCUUCCUUUCACUUACAUCAUUUUGUUGAGGUGCAUAAGUGUUGGUGAACUGGUGUUUAAUACCUGCUUCAUUACAAAAGGUAUUAAACCCGAAUAAAGUAUACUCUGUUCCAUUAUCAGACCUAAAGGUCUUGAGUUUACAGCCUGUUUUAGUUUCUGCUGCAGCUUUAAAUUUCUGGAAUAUUGAGAGUACUUUAUACUUAGUGAAAGUAUGCCCAACAAUACCUGGAGUAAUAAUAAAUAAAUAAAAUGAAGUAUCUGCUUCCAUUCAAUGAUUCAGUAUUCAUGGGGCCACACACAUCUAUGUGUACAAGCUACAGCUUCUCAGAGGCUCUCCAUGCUUGAUUGGUAGGAAAUGGCAAUCUUGCUUGUUUUCCCGAUUGACAGACUUCACAUACCUCUUCUUCCUUAACAGAGUUGGUGAAGUUUUCAACCAAGUCUUCACUGAUCAUCUGAGACAUUGAUCUGAAGUUGGCAUGCCCAAGCCUUUGGUGCCAAAGCUUGGAGUCUUCAGAAGAAAUAGCAUAGGCAUUAUUAAAGCCUUUAUUCUAGUCCACAACAAAGCUCUUUUCUGUCAUGGCUACUGACAUGAGCAUAGAUCCACUUGGAUCACUAAUCUGAUAUUCAUUUUCUUUGAACACCACAGUAUAGCCUUUUUCAACUAAUUGAGCUAUACUUAAUAGGUUUUUGUCAAUUUCAGGAACUAACAAAACAUUUGAAAUGAUCUUGUUACCUGUUGGCGUGCAAAUAACCACAUCUCCCUUUCCUUCUUCCUUGAUAAAGUGGCCAUUGCCAACUUUAACUUUAGUUUUACAGCUUCUGUCUAAAGACUUAAAAAUAGCUGCAUCUGGUGACAUAUGGUUGGUGCAGCCACUGUCAAGGAGCCAACCAUUUCAGACUUUCUUUUGACCAGCUGAGCAUGAAACAGCAAAGACUUGCUCUUCAUAGUCACUACUGUCUUCAGCCACUCGAGCUACUUUAUUCUUGUGUUGUGGUUGGUUUUCGCCAGGUCUGCCUUUUUCUUUGCAGACCCUUUCAACAUGGCCCUUCUUCUUACAGUGUUGACACACAGCAUCUGGCCUGAACCAGCAUCUGGCCUCUGGAUGACCAAGUUUUUUACAAAAACUGCAAAGUCGAUCUUCUCCUCUUGCAGCAUCAGGCUUAGACCUAUUUUUCCAAUUCUUCUUGCCUUUGUAGGCUGAGGAACUUGAAGCAGACUUGGUUUUAGCUUGGAAAGCACCCUCUUGGUGCUCCUCCAUCCUGUUAGCUCUCCUUUGCUCCUGAGCAUAGAGGGCAUUAAUGAGCUCAGUUAAGGAGAUGCUUGCUAGGUCUCUUGAAUCCUCUAAGGAGGAUAUUUUUGCUUCAUACCUUUCUGGUAAGGUAGAGAACACUUUCUCCACAAUCCUUGCCUCAUCAAAUUGCUCACCAAGGAGCCUUAUGCUGUUAACUACAGCUAUGAUUCUGUCAAAAUACUUUUUGACAGUUUCUUCUUCCUUCAUCUUCAAAUUCUCGAAAUCCCUUCUUAGGUUCAAGAGCUGCUGCUGCAUUGUCCUCUCUGUGCCUUGGAACUCCUCUUUGAGUUUGUCCCAGGCUUGUUUUGGUGUUUCACAAGCCAUGAUUCUAGUAAAAAUUACAUCAGAAACACAGUUCUGAAUGCAUGACAUGGCCUUGUGCUUUUUACUUUUUUCUUCAGAGUACUGCUUCAUUUGAGCCACUGUUGGAUUUGCUCUCAAUGGUUCUGGUUCAACAUCUGAGUUAACUACCUCCCAUAGAUCAAAUGCCUGGAGGUAGGUUCUCAUCUUGACUACCCAAAUGUGAUAUCAUUCUCCAUUGAAAACUAGAGGUGCAGCUGGUGAGAAGCUUGAUGAAGCCAUCAGUAUGUGAUCCAACUAUAACAGGUGCACUAAGAUAAAGGCUCUGAUACCAAUUGUUGGGGAUUUAGCACACUUUAAUCGGAUGAAGUAAGAACUUCAAUUUGGACUUUAACAACAGUGUAUUAUACCCGGAUAAAGAAUGAAGGAAAAAUGCUUGAAGUUCAAGCUUUGAGCUACUGCCAGGAAUGGAGAACAGAAUUUAGAAGGCAAAGAAAGAUGGAGCAUAUGGAAGUAAAAUCUGAUGAUUUCAUUCAAAAGAAACUUUGGCUCAAAGCCAUUACAUAUACCAGUCAUUGCUGGUCAAAAUAAACAAAUCCAUCACCUAAACACUACCUAACUCCACCUAUUACAUUGGAACUAGGUGAUAUUACUUGCACACUUGAACAAAGCUGGUAACCAACUCUUUGACCAUCAAGUUACAUCAAUUUGUCAUCCAAGCAUAAUUAAAAAUGAACUAAAUUACAAAAAUAUUGUUAAAAAGUAACAAAAUGAAACUGAUAUGAAACAGUGGUAUUAAAAUCUUAUGUUGCAUUUAUUUUACCCAGACAACUUAUGUGCAAAAAAAAUCUUGCGCGCAUGAAUUUGCUUGAGCUGCAUGUGUUGCAUGGGAACUAACUUCAACAAUUUUCGUUCAAUCAUAGCUUGAUUCAUUAGAAAAGAUUGGUUAUUUGUGAGAUUUGUUUUUUUUAUAUCCUUUUCUUUUUUGUUGAUGUAAGACUAGGGAAUGAUAGAUCAUUGAGAACACCUGAGCUGUAAGACCUUCAAUUUGUUUUACUGAAUUCAAAGUAAUCUUUAGAGGCCCUUUCUGGUUCUGGCAAUUCAGUCUUGGUGGAGAAGUAAGUUACCUUUGACUUAGACUUAUUAUUAUGAUUUUAGGUUCAUUUAAUGAUUUUUAGCAUCCUCGCCGUCAUUUAAAGAUUUUUAGCAUCCUCGCCGUCUUUUCCCCAUAUUUAUCAAUGGGUUAUAUAAGUCCAGAAUUUGCUAGAGAUCUCAAAGCUUGUGGGCUGAACACGUGGAGGUGGAGGCAACUUUUGACAGUUUUCAUUCUCAAGCUAGAUUGGGUUAGUUUGCUGGUAGAGCCAUUGGAGUCGAUAUUUUCUUAUCUUGGAUUUUGAUUAUCAUAUCAGUUUGGGCUGAAAUUUCUUUGUAUGUUACUACCUCUCAUGUUGUUUGAGCAUUGCAGUGAAGAGAUAUUAAGAUUCAUACUUGAAUUCUUUUUGGCAAUUGACUUGUUAUUGGUUGGUUUUGAUUCAUAGGAUCGGUGAUGGAUAUCAUUCAGCUUAAUUGUUUAGGUUCCACCAUUGGUGCUCAUGCCAUGGGCUGUAAGUAGAGAUUUAAUCAUAUUGUAUCUCAAUACUAUCUGCAGUUUACUUCAAUGAUUCAUUCACCCAUUGAUUUAUGUUUCAUAUUUUCUUAAAACGUUAGUAAAUAUAUAUAUGUUUUCAGUUCAUGAUUUCUGAUUUAUAUUCAUGUUAGCUAAGGUAAACCUACCAACUAUUCCCCAUAUAUAAUCUAUUUGCUAUGUUUUAUUAUUUUGAAUUUUAUGACUAUGAUCUAUUGAUUCCAUAAAACUUGAUGAAAGCCAAGCCGGACACAAGUUCAAUACUCUACUGGAAUUGACGUUGCAAAUUAUUGGUGGUUUUGAUAUCUUCUUUCUCACCAAUAAAUGAAGUUCCCACAAAAUUACUAGUGUUAAGGUGAAUGUUGUGAAUCAAUGCAAAAUCCACAUUUAUAUAUGUGCGCUUUUACGUUUUGAAUUUGGUGAUGUGAAGGGAAUAAAGAUGGCAAUGGUUGAUGAAAGGAAAGCAGGUGAGGGAAUAAAUGACAAAUUUUUGUAACAAGUAAGCUUUUAUGAUGUUCAAUUUCUUUUUUUGAAUGAUUUUUUCAUAUUGCGGUUGAACUGAGAUAUUAAAGCAGUACUACAACUUGUCAACAGAGUUGCCUUGUUCAUCCCAUCCAGCUUUGCUUCAACGCUUUCUGGAUUUUGGCCAUUAAGAGGAAGCAUAUGAUCUUGGGUAAAUUACUUUUGACUCAUUUUGAUUAUUAGUAUCCUCAUGGCAUUCGUUUCCCCUGAUUUACCAAUGGAUUAUAUAAAUGCAUGCAGAAUGUUGAAGUUGGCCUGCAUGUGGCACAUGCAGCACAUGCAACACAAGUUGUGCUGAUGAAGUACUUGCAGCUGGAAAGGAUCAAGCUGCUAUAUUAUUACCGGAUGAAGUAUGCAUGAAGUUGCUGAAGCACAUCACUGCUAUAGUAUUUCAUUUUGUUUUGUUACUUUAAACAUUAUUUUGUAAUUAGUUUGAUCUAAACUAAGUUGACAUUGUUUUUUUUAUGUAAUUUGAUGUAAUUAGGUGCUGAUAGAUUGAUAAAUUAGUUUACCUAUGUGUACAAGUAGCGUUUUUUCAUAAGUUCCAAUGUUACUUGGUGGUAAUAGGUAAUGUUAGGUGACAAUUUGCUUUAUUUUGACCAGCUAAAUGUUUGGCAUAUGUAUUGGCUCUAAGCCUUCAUUCAAUGUUAAUGAAAUCACUUUGAGAAUUUCAUCCAAAUACUCUCUCAAUUCUUAGCAUUCAUUUUUAUCCCUUAAGUCCGAUUCUGUUCAUUUGCUCAAAAUCUCCUGACUUGAAUUUCAAGUUUUCUUCAUUCUUUACCCAAAUUUAUUUCGUUGUUGUUUAAGUUCCUAACUGAGCUUCAUACUUCCUCUAGAUAAAUUGUUCAAAAACCCAACAAUUGGUAUCUAAAGUUGUAUUCUCAGUGGACCUGUCAUAUUUCAACCUUAAAAACUAUGGCUUUAUCAAGCUUCUCACCAGCUGCACCACCAGUCCUCAAUGGAGAGGGCUAUCACAUAUGGAUGGUUAAAAUGAAAACCUAUCUGCAGGCAUUCGAUUUGUGGGAGGUGGUCAACUUAGAUGUUGAACCAGCACCACUCAGAGCCAAUCCAAUAGUGGCUCAGAUCAGGCAACAUGCUGAUGAAAGGACCAAGAGGCAUAAAGUCAUGUCCUGCAUUCAAAACAGUGUGUCUGAUGUGAUCUUUACAAGGAUCAUGGCCGGUAAGACACCAAAACAGGCCUGAGAUAGAUUGAAGGAGGAGUUCCAAGGGACAGAUGGAACAAGACAGCAACAGCUACUGAAUUUGAGAAGGGAUUUUGAAAACUUGAAAAUGAAAAAGGAAGAAACAAUAAAGCAAUACUCAGACUGAAUCAUGGCUAUUGUAAACAACAUAAGGCUGCUUGGAGAAUAGUUCAAUGAAGCAAGAAUUGUGGAGAAAGUGAUCCCAACCUUGCCUGAAAGGUAUGAGGCAAAGAUAUCAUCCCUAGAAGACUCGAGGGACCUGACCAGCAUUUCUUUGGCAGAGUUGAUCAUGCUUUCUAUGCUCAAGAGCAAAGAAGAGCUAGCAGACUGGAGGAGCACCAAGAAGCUGCCUUCCAAACCAAAACCAAACCAGCCUCAAGCACCUCUACCUACAAAGGUAAAAAGACCUGGAGAGAUAAGCUUAAGCCAGAUGCUGUAAGAAGAAGGAAUCAAUCCUACAGGCAUUGCAAAAGGCCUAGUCAACCAGAGGCUAAUUGUUGGUUUAGACCAGAUGUGCAAUGCUAAUACUGCAAAAAGAUGGGUCAUGUUGAAAAUGUUUACAAAAGUAAAGGUAGACCAAGGCAGAAUCAACCACAACAACCAAAGGUUGAAGCUCGAAUAGCAGAACAGGGCAGUGACCAUGAGGAGCAAGUCUUUGUAGUUUCCUGCUCAGCUGCUAAAGAAAUUGCCACAAAAGGAUGGCUCAUGCACAGUGGUUGCACCAACCAUAUGACACCUGAUGCUGCCAUCUUCAAGUCAAUAGAUAGAAGCUUCAAAACCAAAGUGAAGGUGGGAAAUGGCCACUUCAUCAAGGCAGAAGGCAAGGGAGAUGUGCUGAUAAGCACUCCCACAAGUAACAAGCUAGUUUCUAAUAUUCUUUUGGUGCCUGAGAUCGAGAGAAACUUGCUCAGCAUAGCUCAGUUGCUUGAGAAGGGCUAUAUGUGGUGUUCAAGGGCAAUGAGUUUCAAAUUAAUGAUCCAAGUGGAUCCAAUCUCAUAACAGUAGUCAUGACUAAUAAAAGCUUUGCUGUGGACUAGAAUAAGGGCUUAAACAGUGCCUACAUAGUCUCAUCAGAUGAAUCCAAGUUUUGGCACCAAAAGCUUGGCCAUGUCAACUACAGAUCGAUGGCUCAGCUAGCUAGAGAAGAUCUGGUUGAAAACUUUCCCAAUUUAGUUGAAAAUGAAGAGGUUUUUGAAGUAUGCCAGUUUGGAAAGUAGGCCGGGCUGCCAUUUACUUCAAACAAUGCCUGGAGAGCCUAAAAAAGGUUGCAACUGGUGUACACUGAUGUGUGUGGCCCCAUGAAGACUCAGUCUCUAAAUGGAAAUAGGUAUUUCAUCUUAUUCAUUGAUGAUUACUCAAGGUAUUGUUGGAUCCACUUCAUCCAACAUAAGUAUAAAGUAGCCUCAGUUUUUUCAAAGUUCAAGGCUGCAGCAAAAAUAGAAUCAAGAUGCAAGUUAUAGACUCUGAGAUUUGAUAAUGGAAUUGAGUACACCUCAACUUAAUUUCAACGCUUUUAUGAUGAAGCAGGCAUCAAGCACCAGCUCACCAACACUUACACAACUCAACUGAAUGGUGUAAAUGAAAAGAAGAAUAGAAGCCUGAUGGAUAUGGCCAGAUGCUUGUUGUUUGAGAAGAAUUUGCCAAAAACCUUGUGGGCUGAGGCAGGUAACACUACUAUCUACAUCCAAAACAUGCUCCUAACCAAGGCUUUGGCUCAGAAGACUCCAUUCAAGACCUGGUUUGGGUUCAAGCCAUCAUUAGCUCAUCUAAGGGUCUUUAGAUGCAUAUGUUAUGUACAAGUUCCAGUUGUAAAAAGAAACAAGCUGAAUAAGAAAGCUCAAGCAGGUAUUCUGGUAGGUUACAACACAGUUAAGAAAGGCUAUAGGAUAUUGGAUCCUUCAAUAAACAAAGUGUUUGUAAGCAGAGAUGUGGUGUUCAAUGAAAAAACAAGUUGAAAUUGGAAAAAGAAUGAGCCAGAGGUAGUUUCUGAGGACUUUGUAGCAGAUCAGACUGAAACUGAUCAAAAUGGUCCUAAAAUGGACAUUGAUGAUGAACUAGUUAGGGGCAUUAGACAUUUGGCUGAGAUUUAUGAAAGAGCUCAAGUAGCUAUAGUAGAACUAAACUGCUUUGAAGAUGCUAAAGCUCAGCAAGGCUGGAAACAAGCCAUGGUUGAUGAAAUCAACAUGAUUGAGAAGAACCAGACUUGGGAAUUACUUCGGAAACCAGUCAACAGGAAGAUCAUUGGGGUAAAAUGGGUCUAUCAAGCCAAGCACAAUGCUGAUGGGAACUUGAACAAGCUUAAAGUUAAGCUAGUUGUGAAAGGGUUCAGCCAGAAGUAUGGCAUAGACUACCUGGAGACCUUUGCACCAGUGCGCAGGCUUGGCACCAUUAGGCUGCUAGUUGCCUUAGCAGCACAGAUGCAGUGGAAAAUUCACCAGCUUGAUAUAAAACUAGCCUUCCUCAAUAGAUUCCUUGAAGAAGAGAUUUAUGUUGAGCAACCUCAAGGCUUUGAAGUGGCUGAUAAAGAACACAUGGUGUAUAGGCUAAAGAAAGCCUUAUAUGGCUUGAAACAAGCACCAAGGGCCAGGUACAGUAGAAUUGAUGGCUACUUGGUCAAUUUGGGAUUUGAAAGGAGCAUUAGUGAGCCAACAUUGUAUAUUAAAAAGGAUGGAGUGCAAACUCAGCUCAUUGUGCCCUUGUAUGUUGAUGACCUGUUGGUGACAGGAGGAAACUAAGCAAUGUUAGCUGAUUUCAAAGCCAAAAUACAACAGAUGUUUGAGACAAAUGUCUUACUUCUUAGGCAUAGAAGUAACACAAACUUAGGAAUGAAUUUUUCUAAGUCAGAGGGCUUUUGCCAUAAAGAUCUUAAACAAAUUCUCAAUGCAGAAUUGUAAAGCAACAAGCACUCCAGUUGCUGUUGGGGAGAAGCUAUAUAGCCAAAGUGUUUUUGAGAAGGUAUGUGAGUCAACCUAGGUAUGUGAGUCAACCUAUAGGAGCCUAGUUGGUUGUUUGCUAUACUUGACUACCGCUAGGCCAGACAUAAUGUUUGCUAUGAGUUUGCUCUCAAGAUUUAUGCAUUGUUGCAAUACAAGUCACUUCAAAGUUGACAAGAGAGUUUUCAAGUACAUCAAAGGUACUCUGAGUUAUGGAAUAUUGUUUAGUAAAGCUAAAAGCUUGAAAUUGGUUGGCUAUACUGAUAGUGACUGGGCAGGCUCAAUGGAUGACAUAAAAAGUACUUCUGGGUACAUUUUUACACUUGGCUCAGCCAUUUUUAGCUGGGGUUCAAAGAAGCAAUAUGUUGUUGCUCAAUCAACAGCAGAGGUAGAAUAUGUGGCAGCUGUAGAAGCUGUCAACCAAGCCAUUUGGCUAAGGAAGAUCUUAGCUAAUCUGAAUCUUCACUAAAGGGAAACAACAGAAAUUAUGUGUGAUAAUCAAUCUACUGUUGUAAUUGCAAAGAAUCCAGUUUUUCAUAGAAGAACAAAUCACUUCAACAUUAAGUUUCAUAUUGUUAGAGAGAUAGAGUAAGCUCGAGAAGUGUUGCUAAUUCAAUGCAAUUCUGAAGACUAAGUUGCUGACAUCUUGACAAAACCCCUUAGUGUGUCAAGGUUCAUCAAACUAAGAGAACUAAUGGGACUCUACAGCAUGCAAGCCAAUGAGGAGUGUUGAAGUUGGCUUGCAUGCAGCACAUGCAACACAAGUUGUGCGGAUGAAGUACAUGCAGCUGGAAAGGAUCAAGCUGCUAUAUUAUUACCGGAUGAAGUAUGCAUGAAGGUGCUGAAGCACAUCACUGCUAUAGUAUUUCAUUUUGUUUUGUUACUUUAAACAUUGUUUUGUAAUUAGUUUGAUCUAAACUAAGUUGACAUUGUUUUUUUAUGUAAUUUGAUGUAAUUAGGUGCUGAUAGAUUGAUAAAUCAGUUUACCUAUGUGUACAAGUAGCGUUUUUUCAUAAGUUCCAAUGUUACUUGGUGGUAAUAGGUAAUGUUAGGUGACAAUUUGCUUUAUUUUGACCAGCUAAAUGUUUGGCAUAUGUAUUGGCUCUAAGCCUUCAUUCAAUGUUAAUGAAAUCACUUUGAGAAUUUCAUCCAAAUACUCUCUCAAUUCUUAGCAUUCAUUUUUGUUCCUUAAGCCCGAUUCUGUUCGUUUGCUCAAAAUCUCCUGACUUGAAUUUCAAGUUUUCUUCAUUCUUUAUUCGGAUUUAUUACAUUGUUGCUUAAGUUCCUGGCUGAGCUUCAUACUUUCUCCGGAUAAAUUAUUCAAAAACCCAACAUAGAAUUAAGUAGAGUUGCUCUUAUCUCAAAACAAGUUGAAUGAACACAUGGAACCUGGAUGUUAUUUUCAAUGCCAACCCUAUCACACUUUUAAUUCUCAAGCUAGAUUGAUGAGCUUUUAUGUUUAUUCCAUAGAGGCCAACAUAAACACUUGGAAGAAAAAAAUCCAAAUGAUUUUGGUUUAGUUGGAACUUUAAAGUGCAGAGCUGGUUUCAUGGUAAAGCCAUUUGACUUGAUUGUUAUAUCAGUUUGGGCUAAAACUUGAAUCAAUUUUCCCCUUUCGUAAUUAAAAUUCCAAAAUUUUAUUCUGCUUUGGAAUUGUAAGGAUGCAACAUCGGAAUUGCUUUGUACAUUCGCUUUUUAUGAGAUGGUAUCCAAUAAGUUCAAGAUUUGUAGCUUAGUAAUUAAAAUAACUUUCUGUAACACUAAAUUAUGAUCUACUAUAAGAAAAAACACAAAUUUUAUACUAAUCUGAUUAUUUUAUAACGCCAUGUGACUUACAUUUAUAGUAAUUAAAAAGAUUCUGCUUUGGAGUUCAAAAAAUAUCCACGCGAAGCCGUGGUGGGUAUCAUAGUUCAGAUAUGGAGCUUCGUACUUAAAUUCUUUUAAGCAGUUGACUUGUUAUUGGCUGGUUUUAAUUCAUAGGAUCAGUGGUGGACUUCAUUCAGCUUCAUUGUUUAGUUUCCAGCCUUGGUUCUUAUGCUGUAGGGAGUAAGUGGAGCUUUAUUGUUUAGUUUCCAGCAUUGGUCUUAAUACUCACUGCAUUUGCUUACUUAUGUCAUUGGUAUUUGUUGUGCUUUUUACUUGCAAGUUUAAUGCAACGCAUAUGCUAACCAAAACAGAGUGUCAAUAAAGAAUUGAUGGUAGAUCUUUGGACAUGCCAUUAUGUUUGGAGUUUUACCUACAAUAGAAAAAGGAGGAGCAAGUAAGCUUUUCAAGAGCUUCAAUUUCUUCCAAUGAAUGCUUGCUUUAUGUUUGUGCAUGAACUGAGAUAUUGAGGAAGUACUGCAACUUGUCAACAGAUUUGCCUUCUUGAUCUUAUUCAACAUUGAGCCAAUGCAAAUUGAAGCUAUUUCCUAAGCUCUUUCUGAUUUUUGAGCCUUCAGAGGAACCAUAUGCGCUUCGAAAAUUUAGCCUUCCUUGAGAGGUAAUUUACCUUUGUUUCAUUGUGAUGUUUUUAGCAUUCUCAUGAACUCUUUCCCCUAAUUUAUCAAUUGGUUUAUAUGAAUUCAGAAUUUGCCAAAGUUGCUGUUAUCUCAAAACUCGUGGGAUGAUGGAGCUGGAGAUUAUUUUUAGUGGCACCCCUUUCACAGUUUUCAAUCUCAAAGCUAGAUUGUUGAGCUUCGAAGUUUUACCCCGCAGAGGAAACCAACAAGACACUAGAAUAUUGGCAUUCGCAAUCAACUCAGUCUCUAAGAAAUAACUAUUCCAUCACCUUAUUUUCUUUGUAUAAUUAUAUAUUUAAUUUAAUUGAUUUUGUGGAUGAUAAAUACUAUUUUUAAUGUCAAUUUUUUUAGUAUUAUUUUAAUUAUAUUUGUUGUUAUCUUUUAGUGACUAAUCAUAGUCCUUGUAGUAGAUUUUGGAUAUAUCUAUUGGAUAAGAAUCAUAAUAUAGACAAAUAUAGUUGCUGCUUAGGAUUUAAGUUUAGAUAACAUUUUCUACAAUAAAUAGGUGUAAAAAGAAGGUGAUAAAUUAUUGGACCAGGUCAUGGGAGUGGAUUUUCUGUUUAAAUUCGAAGUGUCACUCAAAAUUUAAGAGUAUUUGAGAAAAAAAUAUUAGACUCAAAAUAUAAGCUUAGGAAAAUUUAGAUCCAUUAAAAUAUGAGCUCAGGUUUGAACGUUAAAGGUUUGAGCUUAGCCCGACCCGACUCAUUUUUUAAGUUUGUAAUGGUUUAUAUUAUGUUAUGUAACUUAUGAUAUAUAAAACUUAAAACUACUAUAAUAUAAACAUUAAAAAAAUGUUAACAUGACUAUAUAUAAAAUUUUAAUAAAUAAAAAUAUAAUUAUUAAAUAUCAAACUAAUAUAAUAUAAAAAUUUUAUUGAAAAUUUCAAAAAAAAAAAGGGCAGGCUUAAAAUGAGCUUAGAUUAGUCAUUUAUAAAUAUGGAUGGACUUGGGUAAUCAUAAAGUGCAUUAAUAUUAUUCUUAGGUCUAACUCAAAUUUAGCUCGGCUCAUGAACACUUUAAUGAAUAGUGGUGAUGUUGAAGCUAACGAAGGGGGUGGAAAAUUUCGAUGGAAACAACGAAGAAGAUGAGAAACCCAAAUAACUCCUGGGCUAGGUGUAAAAAGUUAUAAAAUAAUUAAAUAUAUUAAAUAAUUUUGUAGUUAUAGAGGUUUAAAUUCAUUGGAUAAUUUAAAAUUAAAAUCAAAUUAAUAAAAUGUGUAAUCGCUGAAGACUAAAAGUGUUAUUGGACCAACUACAAAUAGGUUACAACAUCAUUUUCAUUAAUAAUAUAACGGAGGACGACCAAGUCAUCAUUUCCAUUAACAAUUUAACGAAAGGGUAACCAAAACAAAAACAUGUUAAAGGUUAAGUAACUAAUUGAGUAAUUUACCUUAUAUUCAUUGAAAAAAUAUUUAUUUAUGGCUUAAUUAAAUAGGAGGCCUUAAAUUAUGCCUAUUAUUUUAGAUACUUAUUUUUUUAAUCGAACCACAUAUUCCAUAACCGAAGUUAGCCCUGUGGUUACCUCCAUAAAAAAGAAAUCGUCCCAGCCAAUAAAAAACACCAAAUCUCAAUCCCACAAAAAUAUGAUUAAAAAAUAAUUGAUACUAGUAUUAAAUAAAAAUAACUAAAAGGGUACCCCUCUCCCUAUAUAUUAAAAUUUUAUCUACACUUCUAUUUAAUUAGGCCUUUUUGGUCUGUAUUAUUUUUUCAUUUCCAUUUUAGUUUGUUUUUUUCUCCUUCAUUGUACUACUUUUAAAAUGUUAUUGAUAUUAGUGAUAUUAAUUCAAUUUUUUCGUAUGGAACUUUUAAUAAUAUAAUAUAAUUUAAAUAUAAAAGAAUUAAUUAAUAUUUUAAUUAAUUGACUUGUUGUUACUUAAUUUAUGAUGCCAAACUUAUUAGUUAACCAAUUGAGUUGGUAUCACUUCACUUAUGACAUCAAACUCAGUGUAAUUUUUAGCAUACUAAUCUAAUGAGUGAAUUUAGAAUUUGCCAAAGUUACUCUUACCUCAAAACUUGUGGGAUGAACACAUGGAACCGGAGAAUGUUUUUCACUGGCAACCUCUUGACAGUUUUUUUUCUCAAGCUAGAUUGAAACUCAAUAAACACUGGAAAAAGAAUUGUAAAAAAUCCAAAUGAUUUGGGUUUAGUUCGAGUUGCUUUCAUUGAAAUGGCUUUCAUGAAUCUUAUGUGGUUUUAGGUCGAGUUUGAGUCAUAUUAAUUGGUGGCGAAAUAAAUUUCGAAUUGUUUCUAGUGGGAAUGAAUUGGACAAGGGUUAAACAAGGGUGUGGUUGUUUCUCUUUAUAUAUGGAAGUUGAACAUGCUAUUCUAUUUUCUUAAUGUGUAAAUGCGUAAAUGCGUAAAUGUUAAUGUUAAAUUUGUUGAUUUUUUAGAAUCAAGAUUAAAUUGAUAAAAAUGCAAACAUUGAGGGCUAAAUUUAUUAUUAUACCAAUCAAAAUUAUGUGAAUUUGAUAGAAGACAUUAACGAUGUAGUUAAAUGUACUUAGCUGCUCACUUUCACAAUUAACAAAGAUUAAAUUUUUCCUCUUUUAAAGGGACCAAUUUAUUCAAUUUUGAAAUUAAGAAAGACUAAAGAAGUCGUUUUACCCAAACUUGCCUUCCCUAUGUUAGAAAGGACUAACAAAGAAAAUCUAUCAUUAUUUCACCUAGGAAAAUAGAAACACAACACCCUUCCUUCCAAAGACUUUUCAUUCAGGGGAAGAAAGCGGAAAUUAUCCGUCAAGAAAGUGGUAGGAAAUUUAAGUUUAAUUCACUUAAAAUGGUCUAAAAGUGGCAAUUAUUCUUAAGAAAGCUAUACAAAAUUUCAGUUCAAUUGACCCAAAUGACAAAGUGUGUUCCAGUCAUUAUUUUUAUUAGGAAAUUCAUAAGAAAUUUCAUCACAACCCAAAAAGAAAUUCAUAAAUGAAGACAAUUUUUUUUGAAGUUGUACGUUUGGUUACAAAAUCAACUAAUAUCUAUUUUUGAAUAGAUGAUUUAUUCAUACUAACAUAUUAAAUAGGCCCUUAAGCUUUAUCACAUUAUCUAAAUAAUCUCGUGUACUUUUAUCAUACCCCAAAUAAGCCUUUAAACUUUAUUUGUUAUCCAAAAAACUUUUAAUUUUUAACUUGUAUCUAGAAAAGUUUUAAUCUUAACAAAUUUGUCCCAUUGGAAGACCUUGACUUGGAAAUUAACACCCAUCAUCAUCAUUUGGAACAAUUUUUCUUGUUCGUCAAAACUCCCUUUUAAUACUCUUCAUCAAAGUCCACAUCACCAGAAAACUAAUACAUAGACUUAAGGCUUAGAAUAUGGUUGUUUAUAUAAACUCAAAAUCUUUUUCAUUUUGUUUUUCUAAAUAAUGUGAGAUAUGGGCUUUUAUAUAAAUUCUUAAUCUCUUUGUGCCUUGUUCUUAAGCAAUAUGAGAUUUAUUACCCUUUUAACUAACAAAAGAUUUAAGUUAAACUUAGUUUUUAAAGACUAAAGAUAAUAGUUAAACUUUGCACAACAAUAAACACGAUUAAAAUAUAUUUUUUAAUAUUUUAAAUGGUAAUUAUAAGUUGAUGUUGAAACUCAACACUCCCCUCAUCACCAACUUUUAUUUAAAUUAACAUAUCAUUUGAAAUAAGGGCUAAUUUAAACACAAAUAAAAAUAUAGGGUUUUAUUUGGGUAUCACAAAAGUAAACUAGUUCAAGGACUCUUUUAAGAAUUUAACCAUUUGCUGAACAUUGUCCCAUUGGAAGACCUUGACUUUUGUAGGGAAAAGAUACAAAUAAAGAAGACUGUCAUUUCCUGGAAAGUGUGAGAGUGACAAUUUUCUUGACUAGAUAAUUAGCUAAUCUCCUCUCCAGUCGUCGCCUUUGUUAAAUCUCAUUGUCAUUUACUACUAGGAUACCAAAGCUCCCUUUGUGUAUUUUCCUCUCUUCUUCCUCAAUCUCACCAUCCAUACACUUUCAUGGCAUCUUCAUCAUCUUCUUCUAUUCAACUGAUGCAUUAACUUUUCUUAACCUUCAGAGGUGAAGACUCAUGCCUUAACUCAAAAUUUUAUUUACUCCUAAGUUCUAGCACGAUAAAAUUAUCAUGACUUUGAUAAAAUUAGAGUUUAAUUGAGAAAAUAAUUUAAUUAAAUGAAUGAAUUAAAUUUAUUUUAAUUAAUUAUAUAAAUAAUAUUUUUACAAUGUAAACUUGAUAUUGGGUUGGAUAAAUUAAAUGAAUUGAUUUAAAGUUCAUAUAGACUUGAUCAGGCCCACUUUCUAAGCCCGACCUAAUCUACCCAUAUUAAUUUCUUUAGACUAUUUUUAUUUAAAGAUAAAUUUUAAAAAUAUAAUACAUCAAAUACAUUAAAAAUAUUAAAAUAAAUAUUUCUCAACAAAUUGAAAAUAAAUUUUUUUAAAAUAAAUAUUUAUACUUAAAUAACACUAAUACAGUUGCAAUUUAACAAUCAAAUGUUUUUAAAAUAGUAGCAAAAUUAACAAUAAAACAAAAAAUUUAAUAUCUAAACAAUAACAAUAAAAUAGUAGCAAUACAAUAAUAAAAUUGUAAUAAAAAUAAUAUAAGAGCAGUUAAUAACAACAAAAAAGAAAUAGUCAAAUUCGGACUAUUGGUAUGUUGAAUAAUAUUUUACUCAACAUUUACGUUCUAACACAUAAACUAUUAAUUUCCAACUUUUAAAUUAAUUGCCAAUGAUAGAAAUAUGAAGGUGUUUAAUUAAUUAAAACCAACCAGAAUCACAUGCUCUAUAAAUAGCUUGUGAUUUAGAAUUUUCAUUCAUUGGUGCAUUAUCAACUUACUUUUUUCCUUAUGCAUUUUACAAGCUAUAUGUAUGGUUGUGAUGUGCAAAUUUUGUGGAACUUCCAUGAAAAUUCAGCCCAGGAGUGGUCUGAUUUGAUUUAUCCAAAUUCCUACAUAUGUAGCUUCGAGGAAAGAAAGAAGGUUGGAUGGCAUUUUGAAGUGCUGUAAGAUUUAUUAGUCAUUUUGAAAUUGGUGUCAAAAGCAAAAGCAACCUUUUUUUCUUUUUCUUUUCUCAGCCAAUAAAAUUAUUUUAUUAAAAGGUUUAAUGUAUCGUCCUUAUCACCUCACAAAAAAAGUGAGUUGAAGGGGGUGAAUUUCCAUAUGCUUUGGUGCAUUAUCAACUUUUACUUUUCCUUAUGCAUUUUGUAACAAUAUGUAUGACUGUAAUAUGCAGAUUUUCUUUGUAAAUUCAGCGAAAUUCCUAAUUAUGUAGCUUCCUGGAAAAACAAAAGAAAAAGGAGAAGAUUCUUGACAUCUUUGUAGCAUACUACUAUUUGUUUUUUUGCAAUCAAUGAAUCAAUACUUUGGGGGUGUGGGAAUCAAAUCGCACAAUUAAUCUGUUCUUUCACAGACUAGGCAAGGAAAAGAGUUCCAUUGAUAGUAGUAUCACUAUGCAACCAAAAAAAAAAUGCAAAUUGAUAGUAGAUUUAAAAUGAAAGUUUUGAAGUGAUCUUAAAUAAAAAGGAUUUGGUGACUACUCAAGUCGAUUUAAAAAAACGUUCAGGUAGAAAUAAACUCAAAUUUAAUAUUUUUUAUCUAAGCCGAGUUUUGACAAAAAAUUUAAGUUCAUGGUUCAUACUGGACAAACCUAAAAGAUAAUUCUAAAAUUUUAUAUUGAACCCACGCGGUAAAUCUCACAAUUAAAAUUCAAUCAAAAUAACAUUGGUGAAUCAAAGGAGACAAAUGGGAUUGAGAUGAACAUUGUUUUGGUUAUUCUCUUUGGUACAAAGAUAGCUACACUCUAUGAAUAAGAAACCAGUUUAGACAGAAUCUACAUAGAUAAAGGGAUAACCAGCACCCAGAGACAAUACAAUACGUAAAACCCCGUGUAAGCAAGCUGAAGGAUAAACCGUAUGCUACAACUACAAUGGUCGUUCCUGUCCAGAAUUCAUCACAUAGGAAAAGGCAUAACCAAACUCCCUGAAUUAUACUUUGUAAAACUAAACUAAAACUACCAAAAUAUUGCAACACAAAAGAACGGAAAAACCAACAUCCCAGAAUUGCAACACUAAGUUUCGACACUCGAGAAGUGGAAACCAUGAGCACCGUUAAAAAAAAAACCAAAAUCGAAAAAGAAAUCAUAACUCUAGUUGUGGACUCUGUUGGCGCUAUGUAAACUAUUGAUUGGUCGAAGCAUAUUGCGAAGAAAGCAAGUAAGACUUGAAGUGCUGUUCUGAAACAAUGGGGAUAAGGUUUAAGCAAGGCUAAUGUUAAGAAAAAGGUUACGAUGAAGACAAGAUAAGUUGGAAUAUAGAAAACAAAAAAAAGUAAAUUCAUCUAAGAUUGAUUUACCCAAUGCCAUCUCAUCAUAUGACCCUUUGGACUUUGAAGUGUUAUCUCCCUGCCAAACACCACCAGGUGGGCUAAGACUAGCUUGGAAGGUUGCAGUUAGAAGCAACCCUAAAAUUACUAGUAAGGCAUUGCGGUCCUCGCCUGACAUAUUAUCUAUCUCGUGAGGCAUUAGAUAUGAUAUUUUUAUCAUUUGGUUCUUGUACUUACGUAUAAAGUUUGAAACUCCUGGAAUAAAGCAACGACGUAGAACAGUAAUACUGUCUUCAUUAUGAUGUUGGUCUGCAAUAUCCAAUGCUGUCAAACCAGCUUGAUUGGUAGCGUACUCAUCGGUGUUCCAGUUCAAUAAUAGUUUAAGCAUCUGUUUAAUUGAUAGUUUGAGAAAUAAAAGAACUACAAUCUAUGUCUAUAAAGAUUAAAAAGAAGCCGUACUGAACUAGAUGAGUCAAACCUCAGGUCGAUCAUGAAAAGCAGCUAAGUGCAGUGCAGUGUUUCCGCCUUCAUCUUUUUGGUUCACCACUUCACUAUAGUAGCCUGUCUUCUCAAGUGUUCGAAUUAGGACUUGAAGAACAUCCAGUCCGUUUUCUUCCACGGCAAUAUGCAAAGCAUUACGAUUCUCAAUUGUCACGUCUCUAAUCGAUUGAGGACAAAUCUCUGGAAAUCUAUCCAACAGACCAUUAUGGUUCCCAACUUCAGUUAUGAUGUGCAAAGGUGUCUUGCCAUUCUUUCCUUUGACACGAGCUAGAUCUUUAUUAAUUUCCAAGAAACGUAGAGCCAUACUUGUAUCCGGAUUUGUAACUGCAAGGUGAAGUGGAGUCAAGCCUUGUUUGUUUAGCUUGCUAGCAAAUGAUGGCUUUAAGCUCAUCAUUUCCAUUGCAAGCCUAAGGCAUCCUUCUUCUGCAGCAAUGUGUAAGGGCCGAGUUUCGACAAACUCCUCCUCGUCAAAUUGCUUCAAAGCAUUUCCAUCUAUUUCAAUUAAACUGUAUAGAUCACUAACAUUUCCUGUACAAGCUGCUGUUCUCAACCUUUCAUCCAUGACAGAAGAAGAAUGGAAAGAGCUUAAGCCCACUUAGAGUGUUAACUAGAAUGAGUGAGGACUUACGGUUUUAAAGAUCGUUGCUGCUUUGUCUAUAGAGAAAGCAGAAAAAAUGAAUCUUUCAACUCCGCGUGCUUAUUUUUUAAAAGAAAGUUGCAUUUGAAUAAUUUUAAAUUAAUUUUAAAAAUAAUAAUUUAAUUAUAUAAUAAAAAAAUAUUUUUAAUAGAGCUGCAAUGGUUGUUGAUGGAAUGCUUUUUUGUGCCGUAAUUAACUUAAUCUCAAAAUUCGAAAUAAUGAAACUCGAAAUCAAAUAAAUUUGAAAUAAUUCAAAUUUAAAUUGGAAUCAAUUCAAAAUUAAUCUUAUUCAAAUGAAACUAAUUAAGGAUCAAUCACAACUCUCUAAAUCUAUUAAUCUAAUUUAAUUACUAUUUCUAAUAUAUAUUGAAAGUGUUAUAAGUAAAGUAUAAUUAAAAUAUAAAUAUAUAUAUUUAAGUAAUCAUAAAUAUUAAAUUAUUACGGUAUAAAUGAAUUGUCUGAAAAAUCACCAAAUAGAAUUAAAUUAUUACAAUACAAAUAGAUUAAGAGCUUAUACUAAAGUUAACUAACUUAAUUAAUUGGAAAAAAAAUUACAUACAAUAAAUAUACAUUAUUACACAUAGUAAAUCUCGAACUUAGUCUACCUUUCUAGUGCCAAAUCCUAUUAACAUUACUACCUAUAAAAAUCUCGAACUUAGUCUUCUAGUGCCAAAGCCUUUUAACAUUACUACCUAUACAUUUUUUUAAUGCUCAUGAAAACAUAUAUCUCCUAUGCAAUUGUCUUUUUUUUUUAAUUAUCCUAUCAUUAUUUAUUUUAUAAAGUUGAAGCUUACUGACACUAUUAUAUAGGUGUAUUUGUGGAUCGAAAUUUGAAAUUAAAUAUAAAUGGACUCACUUCAAUUAAUGAAUCUGUCGCUUGAGUUCAUCCCAUUAACUUUUUGGUUGGUAAAAAGUAUAUCAAUAAUAUAAGAUAUUAUUAUAAUGAGAUAACAUAAGAUUCUUCAAGAAAGUGGUAUGAAAUUUAAAUUUAAUUUACUUAAAAUUGUCUAAAAGUGGCAAUUAUUCUUAAAAAAGUUAUACGAAAUUUCAGUUCAAUUGACCCAAAUGACAAAAUGUGUUCAAGUUAUUAUUUUUGUUAGGAAAUUCAUAAGAAAUUUUAUAACAACCCAAAAAGGAAUUCAUGAAUUGUGACAAUUUUUUUUGAAGUUAUACAUUUGGUAACGAAAUCAACUAAUAUCUAUUUUCAUAUAGAUGAUUUACUCAUACUAAUAUAUUAAAUAGGCCCUUAAGCUUUAUCAAAGUACCUAAAUAAUCUCAUGUACUUUUAUCAUACCCCAAAUAAGCCUUUAAACUUUACUUGUUAUCCAAAUAACUUUGAAUUUUUAACAUGCAUCUAGAAAAGUUUUAAUCUUAACAAUUUUGUCCCAUUGGAAGACCUUGACUUGGAAAUUAACACCCAUCAUCAUCAUCAUCAUUUGGAACAAUUUUUCUUGUUAGUCAAAACUCCCUUUUAAUACUCUUUCAUGCCUUCUUCUUCAUCAAAGUCCACAUCACCAGAAGGCUAAUAUAUAGACUUAAGGCUUAGAAUAUGGUUCUUUAUCUAAACUCAAAUUUUUUUUUGCCUUUGUUUUUCUAAAUAAUGUAAAAUAUGGUCUUUUCUAUAGAUUUAUAAUCCUUUUGUGUUUUGUUUUUAGAUUUAUUAUCCUUUUAACUAAAAAAAUAUUUAAGUUAAACUUGGUUUUUAAAAACUAAAUAUAAUAGCUAAACUUUGUAUAACAAUAAACACAAAUAAAAUAUAUUUUUCAAUAUAUUAAAUGGUGAUUAUAAGUUGAUGUUGAAAUUCAAGGCUCUCCUCAUCACCAACUUUUUUUCUAAAUUAACAUGUCAUUUGAAAUAAGGGCUAAUUUAAACACAAAUAAAAAUAUACGGGUUCAUUUGGGUACCAUAAAAGUAAACUAGUUCAAGGACUCUUUUAAGAAUUUAACCAUUUGCUGAACAUUGUCCCAUUGGAAGACCUCGACUUUUGUGGGUAAAAGAUACAAAGAAAGAAGACUGUCGUUUCCUAAAAAGUGUGCGAGUGACAAUUUUCUUGACUCAGAUAAUUAGCUAAUCCCCUCCGGUCGUUGCCUUUGUUAAAUCUCAUUUUCAUUUAAUACUAGGAUGCCAAAGCUCCCUUUGUGUAUUUUCCUCUCUUCUUCCUCAAUCUCACAAUCCAUACACUUUCAUGGCAUCUUCUUCAUCAUCUUCUCGUUAAAUGAUACAUUAAGUUUUCUUAACCUUCAAAGGUGAAGACACAGGCCUUAACUCAAUAUUUAAAACUCAAAUUGACUUAAUCAAUCCAAAUUAUUAAUUAAAAUUAACCCAACAUGCCUGGUUCAUAGGUUUAGUUAAGGGGUAAUAGGUCAAGGACAAGGCUAUAUGCAUGAAGUUACGACAGAUGGGUGUGGAAAAGUUGGGGUCCUAUUUGCCAUUAUGUUAGUUAUGUGAGUGCCGAAUUUGAAUAUGUUCAAUUUUUAUUAAUAAUUUUCAUUUAUUUGUAUCGUUGGAUGGACAAGAUCAAAAUAGAUGCUAUUAAUGGUAUAAGCUUGAUUAAGUCUUCUUUAGUUUUAGUCUAUUAAUUUUUUUCUCUCUCUAAAAUUUGAAUUUUUUUAUUUUUUAAAUAAUUUUUUUCUCAUUUUGUUAUUUAAAUUAAUAUUUAAUUUAUCUUAAAUCGUUUCUACUAGUCUAAAUAGAAUUGUCAAUGAAAAAUGUGUAUCUUUCUUCCCAUCCUUUUCAAAACCUUACAUAACAUAUAAAGUCAGAAUAUCUCUAAAUGAAGAGUCGGAACUUAAGUACAAAUUAUUUUAGUCUUAAUUAUAUAUGUUCAAUUAAUCAUUUUGCUAGCUCAACACAAUCAUUUACGGAUUUCAUUUGAACCGAAACAGAUUUCAUUUGAACCGAAAUGAAAAAAGAGAAAAAGAAAUAGAUUGCAUGUAUCACUAUCUACAAUGAAUGUGUUUUUUCGCUAAGAACAAGAAAUGACUUAUAUUAACUUAUUUCUUUAAAUUAUUAUUUAAUUAAUUAUAAUUAAAUAAUUAAAGUUUGAAGGGAAAAUUAAAUUAAUUAAUCAUUGUGGUUUUAAGGAAUGAGACAAUUAAAUUUAUUUACUCAUAGGUUCUAGUACGAUAAAGUUAUAAUGACUUUAACAAAAUUAAAAUUUAGUUGAGAAAAUAAUUUUAAUUGAAGGAAUUAGUUAAAUUUAUUUUAAUUAAUUAUAAACAUAAUAUUUUUACAAUGAAACUUGAUAUUGGGUUGAAUAAAUUAUAUGAAUUAAUUUAAAGUUCAUAUAGACCUGAUCAAUGGUCGAGUCAAUGCAAUUUUUUAAGCUUGUUUUCUAGGCUCGACCCGACCUUCCUGUAUUAUUUUUUUAGAUUAUUUUUCAUAAAAAGAUAAAUUUAAAAAAUAUAAUAUAUCAAAUAUACUAAAAAUAUUAAAAUAAGUGUUUCCCAACAAAUUGAGAAUAUAUUUAAAAAAUUUAUACUUAAAUAACACUAACACAUUGCAACAUAGCAAAAAAAAACCUUCUAAAAUAGUAAUAAAAUUAACAACAAAACAAGAAAUACAAUAUCCAAACAAUAACAGUAAAAUAAUAACAAUAUAAUAAUAAAAUAGUAACAAAACAACAACAUAACAAUAUUAAACAACAACAGAAAUUUUUUUCCCCAAAAUAUUUAAACUAAGUUUAAAUUUUAAAAUUGAAAUUAUAAAAAAAAAUUACUUAAAUUAUAUCCCGAAUAAAAACUAGGCUCAAACCAUAAAAUCAAACAUAGCAAGUAAAAGAAAUCACGGGUGCGGUACGGUUCCUAAGGUACACGCAUUGACAGUUUUGGUCUGUAAAAGAUUUAAAGAACAUUGAUUAUCCCAUGUGCUGUGACCAGUGAUGUAAUUUGGUUUCUUUUGCCUCAAUCUCACAACCCAUACUCUUUCAUGCUUGCUUGCUUGCUUCUUCUUUUUUUCUCAAAAAAUGGGUCAUCAAAUAAAUACUAAUAUUAAAUAUUUUAAUUAGGUUGGUGUAUAAGUUAUUUAAAUGUUAAUUUAAUAAAAAAAUAGUUAAAAACUUAAGAGUGUAAAAGUUGGAAUCAUAUCCAAUUUUCAUGCUGUCUUAAUGUAGAACAAGCAACAAAUGAUACCCAGCAAGUAUCUAAACAAUUUUCUCAUACAGAAGUCACAGUCAAGGCUUACUAAAUAUCACACAAGGGCUGAAAUAUACUAUAAAAGUCUGUUUUAGGCUUGCAUCUACAAUUUUUAAAUUGAUCUCAUAUUAUAAAAAAAUAAAGUGUUUAAAUAAAAACAAAUCAAAUUCCAUGUGAUUGUUUGAUGAUUAAAAGUGUUUACCGCUCUAAAUGUGAUCUGAAUUUGAGUCGUUUUAAUCACGUUUAUUGAUUUGAGUUGUUUUACUCUGUUAUUUUAAUUCAUCAAAAUAAUAAUAAUAAUAAUAAUAAAUCAAGAUGAUAGGUGUUUAAUGCAUCUUCUAUAUCACUCCAAAAAAAAAAGUUAUGAGUCACAUAUGGAGGGGUGACUUUUCAUACUUUGGUGCAUUAUGAGCUUACAGCUAGACGACUGUAACCUGCAGAUUUUCCAAUGGAAAUUUAGCCAAGAGGAUGACUCUGACAGCUUUGUAGCAUGGUUUUGAUUUGUUUUUUUUUUUUUUUUUUUGCAAUCAAUGAAUAAAGAUAAGGAAAAGUACAGUAAAGUCAAUAUGAUGUGAACUUAACUUUGGGGGUGUGGGAUCAAAUAGUAUAAUUAUUCAAUACCUAAAUACUUGUUUUAUAGACUAGGCAUGAAAAAGAGUUUUGUUGAGUAAUAUUCUCUCAUGUUGUAUUAAGAAAAAUAUGGGGGUAUUUGUACAUAUUCUUAUUGUUACUAUUACAACUCACAAUAGGGCCAAUUGUUUUGUCUUGAUCUUUGGGCCGAGAGUGCUAACAUUCUCUGUCCCUAGUGCUGACAUUCUCUAGGCCUCCUUUAGCUUAUUGGACCCUUGCUUGCAAAGCAUGCGGUCCUUUCUGACCCUAGGACUAACUCUCCCAACGAACCUCGCACCUACCAGUCAUGAGCGAAGGUUAUCUUCGCAGAUACGGCUUGCGACCUCGUCCCUACGAGGUUUACUCGAGCUCUCUUCUUGCGACCUCAUUCCUACGAAGCUUACGCGAGCUCUCCUUAUGGUUUCCCGCGUGAGCUAUCUUCGCAAACAUCUUGUACCCCCGCGAGGUCCUCAGAUGACUAUACCUAAUUUUUUUAGGGUCGAGUUCAUCUGGUUCGGAGGUCCAGAUCUUAUCGGCCACUUGGACUAUUGGUUUCCAAAUCCUAACAAUCUAGUCCCCCUUGGUGCACCUAAGGGACGUUAUAAAGUGGUUGGCCUUAGGUCCAUUUCAGACGUAGCUUGCUAGGUACGCCGUGGGGCCAUAGUGUAUGAUAGUUAUCUUACCAUGUGCAAAUCCAUGCAUUGGGGCGUGCAUCCGAAUGUUGAGAUACGAAUGAUUUUUUUGUGCUCGCAUAUGAACCGUUGGUUUAUUUUUGGUUACCCAAACGGUUUCAGGGGUCUCCCUUUAAAAAGGGAUGGCCAACGUUUUAGGUUUCUCCAUUGUUUGGCUUUUUUGUAUAUCGAAAUCGAGGUAAAUCUCAUGAAUUUCUCUGUUUCUUAACUCUGAUAUAUGUUUUCUUUCUUCUUUUGUUCAAAAUAUGGUAAGAAUGAGAUGAGCUCACAACCAGAUUGUAUUGGCUUGUUCGAUUCUAAUCAUCGUGACUGAAAAACCUAUGCCUACACCACAACACCAGAGGAGAUAAAACGGGCUCUGACCGUGCGGGGAAUUUAGCUUCCUUACUUCGCUUAUGACUUUUCCAUUCCCUCGAGGUCACACCACGUAUGUAAGGCGACGGAGGACGGUUUUUUCUUUCGUUGCAAGUUUUGGAAGUGCACUUUCACCUUCUUUUACACCCUUUCUUUUGCAGUCUCCUCAAUGACUAUAGGUUCUUUCCUGGCCAACUUUUCUGUUUCUCUUGGUGGCUCGAUAUGGCGUAUUUCUUUGACUGAUACUAGCAUGAUGAGGUUCCUACUUUCCCUAUCUUCCAACAUCUGUAUCAGCUGAAGGUGACUGACUUGGAGGAGUCCGCGGGGUUCUACUAUUUUUCCCUUUUCAGAAGGUGCAAACAAUUAUCAAAAACUAAUGUAAGAAUUUUCUCCUAAAACAGGGGAAAUACAUCUAAUUUCACAGUCUACUUGGUGAGGGCUUUGGGUUUUCCAUUAGAUGGUCUUCCCCUAGCAAGGAUAUAUACGUUUUUCAAAGGAGCCUCACCACUGAUGAGGCUAUCGUGCAAUAUUAGAGAUUGCGCGUUGGUCGCAUGCUAGCCUUGAAGAAGGUUCUAACUACUAAGAAUGUCUUCAGAUUCUAUCUGGAAAAUCUUAGUCCGAAUAGCUAGAGGGCUGGUAAUAACAAAGACAUCGUGCAAUUGGUUGGUUGGCGAUCAGCGAGGGAACUUAGACCUAUGAUUCUUACGACCAAUUGGGGAUAAUAUUGAUGGGGUACUUGAGGGAGCCUGUGAACUUCUUCUACCAUUAUUGCGGGAUAAUGUUUCGUUCCUUUGCCCUCUUAAAAUUUAAGCGAAAUAAGAGGGUCAGAGGAGGUACUAACUUGUUACUUACUUCUACUAAUAUUAGGGUUCUUGGUGGUACAGGAGGCAAUCAAAGCAACAAAUGUAAUUCACAUGAUAGUGACAGCAUCUCACGCGAGCUUAACAUAGCUAUGGACAUCGAUGCUUUAAUAAGUAGUGGCCGCAAGAAGCGCAGGACUUCGACUGGGGCCCUGCGUGUCAAUCCCUCUAGCGAGUAGGAAGGGAGUGGUCCUCAACUAGGGCACUGUCAGAAGAUAAGGGCAAUAGUGGAGACCUUGCUGUUACAGUCACCUCCAUCCAUUCUUCCCCUCUAGUAAACUUGACAACCGUUGCCUAGGUGAGCUCGCCUAUCACCAUCACCGAGGACACUCCCCCUCCCUUGCUUUUGAAGACUCUCCAAUGGCUCCCACAAUUGAAAAAAUAUCCAUUGAAGCUGUGAAGGACUUUCCUUCAUUUUUACACUGUCUAUUAUUUGAGGUUGGCACUCUCGGCCUAAGGUAUGCGGAGGCCCGUGAUAAGGAGCUCACUGAUACUCAGACUGAGUUAGAAAGGGUAAACGAGCUGUACAACAAGGUAAUAGAAGAAAAUAAAAUAAUAAAUGAGUAAUAGGGAGUCCUCACCAAGCGCUUGGUGAUGAUAGAGACGAUAGUGGAGGAGUGUGGAGCUAGCUCAUUGUUGAAAAAGAGAGACACAUAUUCGCAGAAGUGGAGCUGAAGGUUAUUGUGAGGCACUUCAUCGAAAUAGAAAGGAUCAUUAAAGAGUGUAAAGAACAGUUGGAUACUACCCUCCUAAAACAAGGGGAGGUGUUGGCAGCUUCCAAGCAGCAAACUUCUCAGAACAUCUUGAGCUCCCUUCAAAGGUUCAAGGAGAAUCUGCUCCUACAUACCCAGGUCCUCUGUGGCCCCUUUGAUGUCCGUAAGGUGGAUUUUGACACGUUUACGAACAUGGAUGUUAACAACCUGGGCUUCGAUACCUUUAACCCUUCUAGGCUUGCUUGGGAUUCUUUAGUGGCCGCUUGGAAAUGAGAGCUUUUUGUGGAGGAGGGGGAAGGCUCUCAUACUGUAAACCUGGCUCCAUCUGCUGUUGGUGAUGCUGUGAUUUCAAUUCCUCCCUCGGUCACUGGGGAUAUUAAAGUUGCUGCCCCAGCUAUUGAGAAUGUUGCUCCUAUUGAUUAAGAUCAAGGUGAAGGUGAUGAGUAGUUGAACAAUGAUAUUGUACUCAUAUUUUUCUUAAAUUUUUAAUUUCUAGCUAUUCUCUUUGUAUUGAAUUUUUUUUAAAUGAAAAGCGUUGUUGCGAGAUAUUUCAUACUUGGAAUUUUUUUAGAAAAUUUUUAUAUGCGAACCUUGGUCUUACAGUUGGGAGCUUUGCUCUUACUAACUAUGUUUGAGGCCGUGGCUCUUCACUUGUGAACAUUAAUUUUACAACUGGGAACUUUGAUCUUGCUAUCUGUAUUGGACGUCGCGACUCUUCACCUACAAACCUUAAUUUUACAGCUGGGAGCUUUGCUCUAGCUAACUAUGUUGAAGGUCACGACUUUUCACAUACGAACCUUAAUUUUACAAUUGGGAGCUUUACUCUCGCUAACUAUGUUGGAGGUCACGGCUCUUCGCUUGCAAACCUUAAUUUUACAACUGGGAGCUUUGCUCUCACUAACUAUGUUGAAGGUCGUAACUCCUCAUCUAUGAACCUUAAUUUUACAACUGGGACCUUUGUUCUCACUAAUUGUGUUGGAGGUCACGGCUCUUCGCCUGUGAACCUUAAUUUUAUAGACGAUAAUUUUGUGAGGAAGAAAUUUUAUUUAUAUGAUGGGUAUUCAUACAAAAUGCUUUUUAAGGUGUCGGGCAUUCUAGGUUUGCAGUAUCAUAACGCCUUCCAUUCUUGCCAAUUUAUAUGCUCCAUAGCUUAUCUUUUUUACCACCUUGUAUGGUUCCUCCCAACUCAGGGCCAUCUUUUUAGCAGAAGGUCGCCUAUUUGAAACUACUCUCCUUUGACCUUGGAGUUAUAAUAACGAGCUACUUGUUGGGCACGGGCUGUGUUUUUUAUUUCAACUAUUUCUCUAGGUUCGUCGAUUAACUCCAAGUUAAGUCUUAAGGCCACAUGAUUAGCUUUUUCAUUGAAGUGUUGCAUUCUGUGCGAUAUUAGGCCUAUCUCUACAGGGAUGACGACUUCUACACUAUAGACAAUUGAGAAGGUUGUUUCACUCGUCGCAGUAUGGGGCGUAGUUCGUAAUACCCAUAAGAUUUCUGGUAGUUCUUCUAAUUUGCCUGCUUUCUUUUUAAGCGCGGUCAAAAAUUUCUUUUUUAUAGCCUCUACUUGGCUAUUGGUUUGUAGGGUUUCACCGAGCUUUGAGCUAAGGAUACCCGGAAGUUUGUGCAAAAUUUCAUGAACUUCCCUUAGAACUGUGUGUCAUUGUCUAUGAUAACAGUGCGAGGUAUCUCAAACUUACAGACAAUCGACUUCUACAUUAAUGACUCUACCUGUCUCUCUAUUAUGGUUGCUAGAGCUUCUGUCUCAAUCCAAUUGGUGAAUUAGUCAACAGCUACUAUAAUGAACUUUUUCUGCAUUAUGGCUAUAAAAAAUGACCCGAGAAUAUUGACCCCCAUGUCGUAAAAGGGCCCUGUCAUGAUUUGGAGAGGUUCUGCUGGUUGUUGAUGUAUUCUGGCGUUUCUUUGGUAAGGGUCACAUUUUUUAACCAUGUGUUAGGCAUCUUCAUAAAUAGUAGGCCAAUAAUAUCCUUGUCUGAGUAUUUUCUUGCCUCCUAGAUGAUCACCGCAAAUGCCCUCAUGGGUUUCUCUCAUGAUAUACUUAGCUUUUGAUAGAGAGAGGCUUCGCAGAAAUGGGUAUGAAAACCUUUUUUUUAUAUAGCACGCCAUUUAGGAGGGUGUAUCGCGCUGCCUUGCAUUGUUAUUUUUCGAGCUCUUUUCAGUUUCUUAUUUACUGUGCAGUGUAUGGAUUAUAAGGGUCAUCUACAUUUCUUUCUAGGUUGUAGAGAACACUUGGGGAACGUCAUAGCUCGGUGCUUCCUUAUGUUCGAGUAAGAUUUUUCCUCUCUCUCAAUAAUGAUGGAGGAUGCAAGCUUUAACAGGACAUCUACGCACGUGUUGUCAUUUAUUAGAAGCUGUCUAACUUCAGCUUUGUUGAAUCCCUACAGCAAUUGAAUUACUGUUGUAUGAUAUCAUUUUAGUAUUAGUUAUUUAACCUCAUACUCGCGCUGUAUUUGCUUUACGAGGAGCUCAGAAUCGGUGUGCAUAGUCAAAUUCCUAGCACCUAGCUGGCACGCUAAUUGUAGUCCCAAGAUUAGCACUUAGUAUUCGGCGAUGUUGUUUGAUGUUUGAAAUCCAAAUUAUAGUCCAUAUUGUCACUCGUUACCCUCUAGGUCUAUCAUAAGUUCGCCUGCCCCGAAUCCCAUUCUAGCUGCGAAGUCAUCGACUUAAACCAUCCAAUCUUUCGAUUCAUCUAUUGUACGUACACUUCUUGGUGUGUUUACUAUUGGUAGUGUCCAAUAACAAAAAGUAAUUUUAGUAAAAAAUAUAAAGUGAUUAUUGUUUCUCUGCAAAGUGUGAGAAUCAUUAGUGAGAUAAAUUUUAUCGCAUAAUGUGUCACUCGUAAACUUGCUAAUUUUCAUUAGUAUUCACAUAUUACAUUAUGUCCGCGAGGUAUCUCACUAUUCGAUGUUUCAAAUUACAUUCUAUGUUACCUGUUAUAUCUUUAUUUCUUUCGAAUUAGCAUUCUACCAUGAUAUCUACCAACAUCUGCCCUUUUAUUGUCGUCCAUGGGGUAAAAUCUAUCCCAAAUUCAGUAAGUUCAAUGUUCUAUUUUGUUAUCCUCCCCAGGGUGUCUGCUUUGGCGAGCACCUCAUUCUUGGCUAGUUAAUGACCACGACGAUCAGGUGGGUCUGAAAGUAUGGGCGUAGCUUACGAGCUGCAAUGAUUAGAGCAUAGAUGCAUUUUUCUGUAUUUGUGUAUUUGAGCUAGCCAUACUGAAAGACCUUGCUAACAUAAUACAUUAGAAAUUAGAGGAUGUCUUCGGAUUUGACCAAGACGGCUGCGAUUGUUUCUUCUGAGGCUGCUAGGUACAAAUAUAGUGUUUCUCUUCUUUGAGGCGGCCUUAGAAGUGGGAGGAAAGUAAGGUACCAUUUUAGCUAUUUGAAAGUAGUUUGACACUCUUCGUUCCAUGAGAAGGGUUUCUUUAAAGCCCUGAAAAAUUGUAAGCACUUGUAUGCCAUUCUGGAGAUAAAUCUAUUUAUCGUCACCACUCCGACUAUUAGGCGUUGGAUUUCUUUUAUAGUUCGCAGUGGGGGAAUCUCUGUGAUAGCUUGAAUUUUUUCUAAGUUCGUCUAUAUUCUCUUCUAUGAUAUCAUAAAACCCAAGAACUCGCCAGCUCACAUACUGAAUGAGCAUUUUUCGGAGUUAAGCUUCAUAUUGUGGGCCUUCAACAUCGUGAAUGUGUCAAUAGGUUUCGCACAUACUCCUCCAUAGAUUUACUUUUUACAAGUAUAUCAUCUAUAUAUACCUCUAGAUCGCAACCUAUCUGUUCUUUGAAUAUCUUGUUUACCAAAGUUACACUCAGAUUUUUAGUCUAAAUGGCAUAACCUGGUAACAGAAGAGACCUUACUUAUUGAUGAAGGUUGUCUUCUACUGGUCACCUUAGUCUAAUAGGAUUUGAUUGUAGCUCGAGAAGGCAUCCAUGAAGCUCAUGUACUUGUGCCCAGUGGAGAUGUCCACUAGGCAAUUUGUCGACGGUAAGGGGAAGCUAUAUUUAGGGCAUACCUUGUUUAAGUUUGUGAAGUCAAUAAAUCUUACACUUGCAUGUCGUCUUUUUUAUCAUUACCACAUUCAAAAUCUAAUCCAGGUACUCCAAUUCCCUGAUAAAUCUAACGGCUAACAACUUGGUGACCUCCUAUCUUAUUGCUUCGAUUACAUGUGGUGCGAAAUUUCCCUUCUUUGUUUCAUGGCUUUUGCCUUUGGGAGUAUAUUUAACUUGUACACUAACGCUUGGCAGAACCGUUGCGGACUAUGUGAAGACGUCUGAAUUCCCCCUCGAGCAUUCGACCACUAAAAUCUUUUUUUCUCCAUUCAGUGCUAACAAAAUUCUGACUGUUCUUUCUUUAUUACUGCAAAAUAUCUGUAGGGUCUCUGUGUGCUCUGCUGUAUUGGGUUUUGUAUAUUGAUGUUCUUCCCUCAUAUUUAGGUCAUCCAAGUUGAUGGCUUUUCUUGGCGAACUUUGCUUCUUGAUUAGAGGCUGUUUUGCCUACCUCACAGACAGUAUGUGACACUGUCUCACCGUGCACUGGUUGACUCACAAGAAGUUGACGUCGGAACUUGUCUGAAACUUGAUCUUCAUACAAUAAGUUGUCAUCACCAUCUUUUCCAUUUGCAUGAUUGGUCUACCAAAGAUGGCGUUACAUGCCAUUGGGUAAUCAACCACAUAAAAUUGGACACAUUUCGUGGUCGUAUGUUCGCUAUCACCCUGAGUGACUGGUAAUGUGAUAAUGCCCCUUACUUUGGUAGGAUGGUUUGAAAAGUAGUACAAAGGGCUGGUUACGAAUAAUGAUUACUUUUUUAAGCCUAUUUUCUUAUAUGCUCCCCAAGAUAGGACUUCUACUACGCUGCUACUAUCGGCAAGUAUCCUUUUGACUUCAAACCUUACGAUCUAAGCUGAAACCACUACUGGGUCAUUUUCAUCUUCGUCGCGGACUAGCUCAUCAUCACCACUUCCAAACUCCAUAUUUUACUAUUCAUAGUGUCUCAGUUUCUUCGAGAUACUAAGCGACAUCACACCACUCAUGUGAGCUCGCUUCUUUUUGUGCUUAACUGCAUCCACUCAUUGCUUGUGCCUACUAUUACAUGAAUGGUUCCUCAUACCCUUUGCUUUUCCUUGGGGUCCAGUCCUUACGAACUCUGGCCCUGUUAGAAACCUCCCUUGUUUAUGAACUCAACAAGUUCGCCAUUCUAGAUAGCUUCUUCUACGGUGUCCUUUAACAUGAAGCAGUCUUCGAUCUUAUGUUCUGUAUCAUCAUGGAAGGCUUAUUGAUCCUUAGAAUUCGUCCCUCUACCGGUACUUCGCAUCAGGGGUGAUUUAGAAAGGAUGCACAAGCUCUUCACCUGGUUAAUGAUGUAAGCUCGUGUGGCAUUCAAUAAGGUGUAAGCUUCGAACCUGCCUUGGGGGGUAUAACGCCUCAUGUACUCAUGUUGGUGCCUUUGCGGGUUUUUAAAUAAAUCACUUUGGGUUGAGGUCUUGUGUGACCUAUCGGUCCUAACCCGCAAGAACUAGUUGCUAGGAGAUUGCCUAGUGCGUUGCCCUUCUCUGUUCCUAGGUUGUCUAUCCUCCCUUUAAAAUCUAACUCGUGAUACCUUCUUGAUUUCUUCUGCCUUCGUGAACUUACGAGCUCGUUUGUAUAGGUCAGCUAGGCUCUGAACCUAUUAUCAGUUAACGAGUACUGCAUAUAGUCAUUAUGCACCCCUAUGAUGAAUGCUUCUAUUGCUCAUUGGUCUUCUAAGUUUUUUGUGUUGAGUGUAGCUAUGUGAAACCUCUUUAUGUAGUCUUGGAGAGACUCACCCUCUCGGUACUUAACCGAUAUUAGCCCCAUAGGUGUAUUCAUGAUUGCUCGGUGGGUCUAAAAUCUUCUCAAGAACAUUUUCCCUAGCUAUGAGAUGUUGCAAACUGAGCCUUGGUGGAAGAGAGAGAUACCAGCCAUUGGUGCUUGCUUUCAGCGUUGUAGAGAAUGCUUUGUAUUUUGCAGUGUCUGAUGCUCCCAACACAUUCAUAUAGUUGUUAUAUUGCAUUCAAAUAUGUCCUUAGGCACCUUGAAGUCACGGGGUAGGCCAACUUCCGCGAUUUCGAGAGCUAAAAGGUUAUUAGAACAAAACAACCAGUCUAUGUCUUGCGACUCUAGCUGCAGGGCCCGUAUGUCGCGACAAAGCUCAUCCAUCUCAUUUAUCCACUCCUUCACCUAAGUGCUCGUGGCUUCAUUUUGGGUGGUAACAUUUAUUGGGAUCCCGAGUUAUUGGCUUGUGCCUUUUAGCGUAGUUCCUUAUUUUGCCUUAGUAACUCCUAUUGAAAGGCUUGCUGUUCCACAAAUCGUGCCUCUUGUGCCGUCAUUUACUCCCUCAUGAACUUCAUCUACUCCUAGAGGGCUUGGAGCUACGAGCAGGGUGGUUCUUAGUUGAGGGAAUAGAGCAUUCCCUAAUCGGAGGAGAGAUUAAGGUCUAAGGAAGGAGAAGGCCCUCGAUAAACCGUAUUCUCGAGGUUUUCGGGCCUGACAGCAAAUCAGACAACAAACAAGUCUAUUUCAUCAUGUCAAGGGUCGGGACUCGAUGCUUCUAUCUGACUGGAGGAGAGGAUGAAAGGAGAGGUGUAACAGCCUAAUUUUCAGUGGUGUUGGAACAGUGAUUCGAGAUCACUAAAUCCGACAAAUGAGUAGGAUAUAUUAAUUUAGUGUGUAUAAAUUAAAUGUGCAGUUAGGAAAAAUUUUGAAAUAGUGAAUAAUGUACUAAAAAUAAAUAUUAAAAUAAUUAAAAUUGAAAAUGAGGUAUCGAGACCUCGAGAAUUUCAAAUCGAGCCAUAAAUAUUUUUAUAAAUAUUUAUGGAGUGUUAAUAUGUUAGUAUUAAAGUUUCGUCAAGAAAUUUUAAAGUUUUGAUAGUUAAUUGAACAAAAAGGACUAAAUUGUAUCAAAUGCAAAAUUUUGAGAAAUGAUUAAAUAGCUUAAUUGAUAAAAGAAAGAGGGUUUAAAAGGAAAAUAGACCCAAGGUCUAUUUGGGCUGGACGGCAAGGGCAUGAAAUCAGCAAGAAAAUAAGGAGAAUUAAGGGCAAAAUUGGAAAAUUCCCAAAAUUAACUAAAUAAAAAUGGGACCAAUUUGGAAUAUCUAGAAUUCUCUUCAUUUCUCUUCAUAUUAAUCAGCUGAAAAAUAGCCAUGGAGGAGGGUUGAAGCUGGUUUUCAUACUCUAGCUUCAUGUAAGUUUAAUUCUUGCUUUCCCCUUGAAAUUUUUAUGUUUUUGUGACUUUUACAACUAGGUCCACUUGUUGAAUUCAUUAGUUUUUGAUUCUAUGAAAGAAAUUAAGUUGCUAUGAAUAUGUUAUGGAAGUAUAUAUGAUUUGGCAUGGAAUUAGAGCUUUAAAUUGUUUAUAUGCUGAUUUUAUUGAAAGAAUUGAAUAGAAAGUGAAUGUUUAGGACCUAAUUGUAAAAGAGUUUGAAGUUAGAGUUUUAUAUGGAAAUUAUGAAUUUCAAUAGUUAUGAAAUAACUUAUAAUGUUUAGGAAAAGUAUUAAUUGAGAAAAUUAUCUUAAUUUAUGGGUUAAUUGAGUAAGGACUGAAUUGUAUGAAUUGUGAAAUUUGGGGCAAAAUGGAAAUCAACAUUUUGCACUAAAACUGUUUUGGACAGCAGCAGUAGUCUAACUUUGAAAAAUCACCAAAAAUUUUAGAAAUGGAAUUAGAGGAUGAAUAAAAUAUGAAAUUAAAGAUUAUUGAGUCUAGUUUCUUAUAGAAGAAAUAAUGUAAGCAAUGGAAUUGUAAAUCAUGAGAUAUGAUAAAUUUUGUGAGACAAGGUCAGAAUGAAUUCGAGAUCCACUGUCCUGACUUUAGAAAUUUACCAUAAAUUGUAAAAAACUUAUUAAGAGUCAUAAUUUACAUGCAUGGAUUCCUUAUUGAGUCUAUUAUCAAGAGAAACAAACAGGAACAUCAUUCAAAUCCUGUACGAGGAGAUAAUUAGUUUUUAGUGAAGAAGGGUCGGAACUAUCAGACAGCAGAACAGGGGAGACUUCAAUGAAUAAACUGUAUUAAUUGGCCCAACCAAAAAUUAUGAAAUUUUUAUGGUAAGAAGACGUAUGAGUCUAGUUUCUGGGAAAAUUUAUGGAUCUUAAUUUGGAGUUCUUUAGCUCAAUAUAAAAAUAAUUUAGUGACUAUGACAUAGAUGGACAGCUUGAAUAUUCACCUAAGUAGAUAGUAAAAAUUAUGGAUAAUGUUACCUACAAAUCUGUUGUUUAUACUAAGGUCUUGUUUAUACUAAGGAUGUGGAUGGAGAGGAGGAGGAGGAAAAAUAUACAUAUAUAUGAAUGACUUGUGUAUAAAUUGAUCACAUGCCCGAUUAUAAUCAAUGAAUGUUGAAUUAGAAAUGAUAUAAUAUUUUAUUUGGAAUAUUUAUGAAUGUUAAUUGUUGAAAAUAAGUAAAUUGUGUACAAAAGGUAUGAAAUUGAACUGAGUAUUUCGAAAGAAUGGAAUACAGGAAAUGAGUACGAUCUUUCAGUGAAAAAGAUGAAUUGACGGUAAAUUACCCAAGUAAACCGAGAUUCAGCAUUUGUUGCGAAUUCUCGUGUUUACUUUCCGUUUAGCUCUUACGAGCUUCUGCUAACUCAUAUGAUUUCAGUUAACCCUUUUGGGGUUUCAGUUCAGCUCUGAUGAGCUUCAGUUAGCCUUUGGGCUUCCGUUUAGCACUUAUGUGCUUCAGUUAGCCUUCGAGCUUCCGUUUAGCACUUAUGUGCUUCAGCUAGACUUCGGGUUUCAGAUCACGAUGUACUUCAAUUUGUAAGUCGUUUCUUAAAUGGAGAAGCUGGUAAGUUGUAAAUGUAACGUGUGGAAAAAGAAAUGUAAGUAAUGCUAUUAUUAUUAUUGAGCUCAAUUAUAUGAUUUCGUCAUUCGGAGAUUGCGAUUGACAAAAUAUGUUAGUAAAUUAUGAGUAUGUGAAUCAAAGUGACAGAAUUUAAACACUUAAUGAGGUUGAGCUCAUUCACAUGAAUUUGUCAUUUGAAAUUGUGAUUGACAGGAAGAAACAGUGAAUUGCAUACUUAUGAAUGGUUACAUAUAAUUACCUGAAAAACAAGAAAAAUGACAGUGAUUGAUAUAUGGAGACAUGAGACAUUGAUAUAUGAAUGUGGAAUAUAUUUGAUAAAUGUGUUCAUUCAUAAUUAUGGAAUUAUGUACCUCAAGUGUGCUAUUUGCAUAAAGAUGAUAUUUCAAAUACUUUGGUGAAUAAAGAUUAAAUAUGAAAUUGUAUGAAAUCGAGACAAGAUGUUAUGAAAAUAUAUAUAAAUUAUCCGUAAGUGUGUCGUACUUAUUGGCAAUGCCUCGUACUCUAUUCCGGCGACGGAUACGGGUAGGGGGUGUUACAAGAGGUCUCGUCGGGGUGAGUCAUUUUUUGCUUUAGGUUGAAGAGAAUUGAAUCAAACUAGAGAAAAUAUGUCAGUCAAAAGUAGUCCACCUUCAUCGCACCAAUUGUUGAGUAAUAUUAUCUUGUGUUGUAUUAAAGGAAACACAGGGGGGAUUUAUACACAUUCCUACUACUACUAUUACAGCUCAAAAUAGGAUACACUAUUUUGUCUUGGCCUUUGGGCUGAGGGUAUUGACAUUCCCUAUCCUUGGUACUGACAUUCUCUGGGCCUCCUCUGGCUUAUUGAAUGCUUACUUGCGGAGCACGCAGUCCUUUUUGACCCUGAGAUUGACUCUCCCAACGAACCUCGCACCUACUAGUCACGAGCAGGGGUCCUCUUCGCAGACAUGGCUCGCGACCUCGUCCCUGCAAGGUUUACGCAAGCUCUCCUCUUGCGACCUCAUUCCUGCGAGGCUUACAUGAGCUCUCCCGCGGGCUUCCAGCGAACAUCUUACAUUCCUGCAAGGUCCUCAACUGACUAUGCUUGUAGGGGAGCAUUCUUCUUCCGGGUGGGGUUCAUCUGGGUCGGAGGUCCAGAUCCUAUCGGUCACUUGGACUAUCGAUUCCCAAAUCCUAACAAGUUUCAUUAAUUGGACACUGAUCUAAAACGUUUGAUAACAACUAGCGUUAUUGACAAUAUUAUGCAAAUUACGAGUAUAUCUAAUCAAGAGGCGGAAUUAUUCGUUCAAACUUAAAGGUUUGUUCAACAUAUAAAGGAAUUUGAACAAAAAUACGAUACUCAAAAAAUAAAUUUAGACAAAAUUUAAGAUUUUUUUAUUCAAGCCGAGAAUUGAUUAAUACCCACCAAUGUAUAAGAAAUUUUAAUGCAACCCACAAGUUUUUAAUUGAUUAAUUAAGUGAACUUUUCUCAUAAUUGAUAAUGUAUCUUACUUAACUUUAUUAAUAUUAAGAUUUUAUUUAAGUUGCGGUAAUGCUAAUUUAAUUAAAAUUUCUAUUUAAAAACAUAAAUAAAAUUAGAUUUAUGAAACACCCACGAGAUAAAUGAAAAAAUUAUGUAACACAUAUGUUUAUAAAAAAUUUCACAUAAAAAAAAUUUUAAUUGGUAUUUUCGUUACAAUUGUAAAAUUAAUUACUUAUAUGUUGUUCUAAAUUCAAAUAUCAUUAUGUUUAAAUUUUUAUUGAUUUAUUAUAAAAGGAUAAAAGCAACCUCAUAAAAUAUAACUUAAUUUGUAUAUUAUAGGAUAAUUUAAUAGUUUUUAAUAAAAAAUAUACAUUUUUGCCAACAAAAUUACAGUUACAACAUGGCCUAAAAAUCCCAUAAGAUGAAAAUAAAAAUGGCAUCAAGAAGAAAGAAGCUCAAUGCUACAUUGCCAAAAAAUCUGCAGUAAGAAGAGACCCCACGAUGGUACCCAAAUAGAAGUCAUCCACCACAAAAGAAGAGAACAUUAAUCAAUUCACCCCUAUACAAUUUAAAUUACUUAUAACACCAUUUAAAAAAAAAACCAAUAACUUAUAACACCAAUUUGCAUAAUUAUAUGUAAAAAGAUUCAGGGACGCGGUACGGUUUCAAAGGUACACAGGCACAUUGACUGUUUUUGUCUGUGAAAGAUAUAAAGAAAAUUGAUUAUCCCAUGUGCUGUGACCAGUGAUGUAGUUUGGUGUCUUUUGCCUCAAUCUCACAACCCAUACUCUUGCUUGCUUGCUGCUUCUCAAAUACUCUUAAUUCUAAACCCUAAAUUAUAAAAAUUAUUUUAAAAUUUAAAAUUGUUAAAUUGUUAAAUUUUAAUUAAUUGUAAAUGUGGCACACGUGAAAUAUCAUACUAUAGAUGUCACAUCAAUAAAGUUAAUAGACUUUAACUUUUUUAUUAAUUUUGAGGUGAUUUGAUAAAAAAAAUGUAAAUUCAAGCAUUAAAAAAAGUGAAAAAUUAAAUGAACAGCUAAAAUAAUUUUUCUUAUAAAAUUAGAGGGCUAAAUAAAUAAUUAUGCCUUUGGCUUUGUAAAAAUAUAAUUCAAUGAUGUCUUAAUGUAGAACAAGCAGCAAAAGAUACCCACCAAGUAUCUAAAUAAAUUUCUCAUACAAAAGCUUGUAAAUAAUUUGACACAGUCAAGAACUUACUAAAGAUCACACAAGGGCUGAAAUAUACUAUAACAAGGGUUGAGAGCAUUUAGUAACUACUUGUAAACAAAGCAGUAAAAUCAGUCCUAAUUAAACCAAGCACACUUACAUCACAACCAUAACAAGUUUCCAAAAGUCCUAAUUGCAGCGGUCCUAAAAUGUGGCUGUGAUUUGAGCUAUUAUACAGUUCUUGAAGCUUCGGACUAGAGCAUGACAGUUUCAUUGAGUAUCAAUUCACCCUCAGAUUCCUUGGGGGAUGUCUUGCUAAUUGGUUGAUCCUUCAUGUGAAAGAUAUCAAUUUUCGUGAAUGUCUUGCUAAGCGCAUAUAUUUUACACUUUUUAGGCCGAAGAUUUAGCAUUUUGCACAAUCCUUAAGUAAAAUGGUGCAUAUUAGAGUGGACAAUAAUGAGCUUCGCAUAAAGGACAAAUAUUGCCAAAUCCUAUUUUUAAUUUCAAGAUAACGUUUGACUUUAGUUAAAAAAGAAAAAGAAAAAGAAAAAAUAAACUUAGGGUUAUCCACAUAUUUUAUAAAUUAGAGUGGAAUCUUAACCCUGAAGAACUUAAAAUUAUUUAUUAGCUAAAUGGUUACUAGUGAUAGUUGUUGCUGGUACAUAAUUAAAAUGAUUUUUAAUGCAGAAAUCCAUGGUUUGAUUCAUGGAUCUUGAUGGGGCCGGGUUUUUGGUUUAAUAUUCAAACUCAAAUUGAUGUUGAACUUGUUGCAAGCUUGGAUAUAUACCAGAUAUUUCAUGCCACCUGUAAAGAAAGAAUAAAAAGGUUUCAAUAUUCAUCAAAGACUCAGUCUACCAAAAAACGAGUUCAAUCUCAUUCCCAUCUAAUAAGCAGAUACCAAAGAUGAUGCUACUAAUAAUUCUUGUCAUUCUUCUUCUUGUAUUUCUUCUUCAGAAGUACGAAAAAGAGAGAAGCCCAGCAAAGGAAAGCUCCCAUUGUGUAUCUCGUUCUCUUGUGCCUCAAUCCGACAAUCCAUACCCUUUGACUUCUUCAUCUUAUCAAGUCAAACAUCAAGUUUUCUUGAGCUUCAGAGGUGAAGACGUACGCCUUAACUUCACCAGCCAUCUACUCAAAGCUUUGAAAGAUACGGGAAUUAAUGUAUUCUUCGAUGAAGAAACAUUGGAAAGAGGGAAGCAACUUUAUUGAAGCAAUGGUUAGCAUGUAGCAAUCACAUGUUUUAUUAUUAUUAUUAUUAUUAUUAUUAUUAUUAUUAUUAUUAUUUGGAUGUAAUGAUGUAACUUAGUUGUAUUCCAACUAAGUUUGUUAGUGGUAGUAGGUGGUGAUUUAUUUUAAGUGGAUGUAAUGAUGAAACUUAGUUGUAUUCCAACUAAGUUGUCAAGUUGUAAGCUUGUAUAAAUAGGCUUUAUGCCAUUUUAAAAAAUAUGAAUGAAUUCAAUCAAGAUUUCAUCCAUAUACUCUCUAUUUUAGCUUUGCUUAAAAUUUAUUUCAUUUUUCUUCUUUGUUUCUGCCGCAAGUCUCGAUUCUUGCUCAUCAAGCUUUUUGUUGAACCUUGCUAUUUGUUGCACUUAGCUCCAACAAUUGGUAUCAAGAGCCUAUUUCUUAAGGGAUCUGUUAUACAAAUUCAUGGCUUCAUCAAGCUUUUCACCAGCUGCACCUCAAGUCUUCAAUAGAGAAGGCUACCACAUAUGGGUGGUUAAAAUGAAGACCUACCUACAAGCUUUCGAUCUGUGGGAGGUAGUCAACUCAGAUGUUGAACCAGAGCCACUCAGAGGCAAUCCAACAGUGGCUCAAAUCAGGCAGCAUGCUGAUGAGAGGACCAAGAGGCACAAAGCCAUGUCUUGCAUCCAGAACUCAGUGUCAGAUGUGAUUUUCACAAGGAUUAUGGCCUGUGAAUCACCAAAACAAGCCUGGGACAAGUUGCAAGAGGAGUUUCAAGGGACAGAGAGGACAAGGCAGCAACAGUUGCUGAACUUAAGGAGAGAUUUCGAGAAUUUGAAGAUGAAGGAAGAAGAAACUAUCAAGCAGUACUCUGACAGGAUUAUGGCUGUUGUUAACAGCAUUAGGCUCCUUGGAGAGCAGCUCAAGGAAGCUAGAAUAGUGGAGAAGGUUAUUGCAACUCUGCCCGAGAGGUAUGAGGCAAAAAUCUCAUCUCUCGAGGACUCAAGGGACCUGUACACCAUCUCCCUGACAGAGUUGAUCAAUGCUUUAUAUGCUCAAGAGCAAAGAAGAGCAAGCAGACUGGAGGAGCAUCAAGAAGGUGCCUUUCAGGCAAGAACAAACAUUGCCUACAAAGGCAAGAAGGCCUGGAGAGACAAGCCAAGGACUGAUGUUGCAAGAAAAGAGGGUCAGACUUGCAAGCACUGCAGAAGGGCUGGUCAUCCAAAAGAAAAAUACUGGUUCAAUCCAGAUGCUGUAUGUCAGCAUUGUAAAAAGAAGGGUCAUGUUGAGAGAGUCUGCAAGAGCAAGGCCAAAUCAAGGCAGAGUCAGUUUCAACAGAUGAAAGCUGAGGCUCGAGUAGCUAAGGAGGACAGUGACCAAGAGGAGCAAGUCUUUGCUGUGUUAUGCUCAGCUGCUCAAGAAAGGUUCUCAUCUGGUUGGCUUCUAGACAGUGGAUGCACCAACCACAUGACACCUGAUGCUGUAAUCUUCAAGUCUUUAGACAGAAGCUGCAGAACUAAAGUCAAGAUAGGAAAUGGACAUUUUAUUCAAGCUGAAGGCAAGGGUGAUGUGCUGAUAUGCACCCCCACAGGUGCCAAAGUGAUUUCAAAUGUGCUUUUGGUGCCUGAAAUUGACAGAAACCUGCUCAGCAUAGCUCAGUUGCUGGAGAAAGGUUAUUCUGUUGUGUUCAAAGACAACCAAUGCCAAAUCAAUGAUCCAAGUGGAUCCAAGCUGAUGGCAGUUCCUAUGGCUAAUAAGAGCUUUGUAGUUGACUGGACCAGGGAGUCAAACAUUGCCUACACAGUCACAUCAGAUGAAUCUAAGCUUUGGCAUCAAAGACUGGGACAUGCCAACUUCAGAUCGAUGGCUCGAAUGGUCAGAGAGGACUUGGCUGAAAACUUCAUCAACUCAGUGGAUCAUGAUGAUGUGUGUGAAGUGUGUCAGCUAGAAAAGCAGGCCAGACUCCCAUUUCCCUCGAAUCAAGCCUGGAGAGCCUCUGAAAAACUCCAACUGGUGCACACUGAUGUGUGUGGCCCUAUGAGGACUGAGUCAUUAAGUGGAAACAGGUACUUCAUACUGUUCAUUGAUGAUUUUUUAAGAUAUUGUUGGCUUUACUUCCUAAAACAGAAAUCAGAGGCGGCCUCAGUGUUUUGGAAGUUCAAGACUGCUGCUGAGACUGAAACAGGUUGCAAGCUGAAGUCCAUAAGGUCUGAUAAUGGGACUGAGUACACCUCAGCUCAGUUCCAAGCCUUCUGUGAUAAGGCAGGCAUCAAACAUCAACUUACCAACACAUAUACACCUCAGCAAAAUGGUGUAAGUGAAAGGAAGAAUAGGAGUUUGAUGGAUAUGGCCAGGUGCUUGAUGAUUCAGAAGAAUCUGCCUAAAGCACUAUGGGCAGAGGCAGUUAACACUGCAAACUACAUUCAAAAUAGGCUUCCAACCAAGGCCUUGGAUCAGAAGACUCCAUUCGAAGCCUGGUUUGGAUUCAAGCCAUCACUGGCUCAUCUGAAGGUCUUUGGAUGCAUCUGUUAUGCUCAUGUACCUGCUGUAAAAAGGGAUAAAUUAUCUGAAAGGGCUCGACCUGGUAUUUUGGUGGGCUACAGCACUGUUAAGAAGGGCUAUAGGAUCUUGGAUCCUUCAACAAAGAAAGUGCCAGUCAGUAGGGAUGUGGUAUUUGAUGAAAAGUCAUGUUGGAACUGGGAAAAACAUGAACCUGAGGAAGUUUCAGAAGGACUUGCAGCAGAUCAAGCUGAGCCAGAUCAAAAUGUUCCUGAAAUGGACAUUGAUGAUGAACCAGUUAGAGGAACAAGACCAUUGACUGAGAUUUAUGAAAGAGCUCAUGUAGCCAUAGCUGAACCAAGCAAUUUUGAAGAGGCUGAAGCUCAGCAAGAGUGGAAGCAGGCAAUGGCUGAGGAGAUUAGCAUGAUUGAGAAGAACCAGACUUGGGAAUUAGUUGAAAGGCCAGUCAAAAGGAAGAUAAUUGGGGUGAAAUGGGUGUACAAAGCCAAGCAAAAUGCUGAUGGUACCUUGAACAAACUGAAAGCAAGGCUAGUUGUCAAGGGGUUCAGUCAGAGGUAUGGCCUGGACUACCUGGAGACCUUUGCACCAGUGGCCAGACUAGACACCAUCAGAUUACUGAUUGCCUUAGCAGCACAGCUCGAGUGGAAGAUCCAUCAACUCGAUGUGAAAUCAGCCUUUCUGAAUGGUUUCUUAGAUGAAGAGAUCUAUGUUGAACAACCACAAGGGUUUGAGAUAGCUGGCAGAGAGCAUAUGGUCUACAAACUGAAGAAGGCCCUAUAUGGCUUAAAACAGGCUUCAAGGGCCUGGUACAGCAGAAUCGAUGGCUACUUGACUAAUUUGGGAUUCGAUCGAAGCAAGAGUGAGCCAACACUGUAUGUCAAGAAGCAAGGGACACAAACACAGCUCAUUGUAUCCCUAUAUGUUGAUGACCUGCUGGUGACAGGAGGAGAUCGAGCAGUGCUGGUUGAUUUCAAGACCAAGAUGCAAGAAGUAUUUGAAAUGUCUGAUCUAGGGGAAAUGUCUUAUUUCCUUGGAAUGGAGGUGACUCAAGCACAAAAUGGGAUAUUUCUAAGUCAGAGAAACUUUGCCACAAAGAUUCUGACCAAGUUCUCCAUGCAAAACAGUAAAGCAACUAAAACACCUGUUGCUGUUGGAGAAAAACUAUCGAGCCAAGGUGAUUUUGAGAAGGUUUGUGAAACAACCUACAGAAGUCUAGUUGGUUGUCUGUUAUAUUUAACUGCCACUAGACCAGACAUAAUGUAUGCUGUAGGAUUGCUCUCAAGGUUCUUGCAUUGUUGCAAUAAAAAGCAUUUACAAGCUGCUAAGAGAGUGCUUAGAUAUGUCAAAGGCACUUUGAGCUAUGGUUUAAGGUACAGCAAUGAAGGAAAUCUGAAGCUGGUUGGCUACACUGAUAGUGACUGGGCUGGCUCGAUAGAUGACAUGAAAAGCACCUCAGGGUAUGCUUUCAACCUUGGUUCAGCCAUGUUUUGCUGGAGCUCGAAGAAGCAAAGUCUGGUGGCUCAAUCUAUUGCUGAAGCAGAAUAUGUGGCAGCUGCAAGUGCUGUCAACCAAGCCAUUUGGCUAAGGAAAAUCUUAGCUGAUUUGAAAGUGCAUCAAAAGGAAGCUACUGAGAUCUUCUGUGACAACCAAUCUUCAGUUGCAAUUGCUAAAAAUCCAGUGUUCCAUGGAAGAACAAAGCAUUUCAGCAUCAAGUUGCAUGUUGUUCGAGAAAUGGAGCAAGCUCAGGAAGUGAAACUGAUCCAUUGUAAUUCUGAGGAUCAACUUGCAGACAUUUUGACUAAAGCCCUUAAUGUCACAAGGUUCGAAUGUCUAAGAAGGAAGCUAGGUGUUUGCUCCAUGCAAACCAAGGAGGAGUAUUGAAGCAAUGGUUAGCAUGUAGCAAUCACAUGUUUUAUUAUUAUUAUUAUUAUUAUUAUUAUUAUUUGGAUGUAAUGAUGUAACUUAGUUGUAUUCCAACUAAGUUUGUUAGUGGUAGUAGGUGGUGAUUUAUUUUAAGUGGAUGUAAUGAUGAAACUUAGUUGUAUUCCAACUAAGUUUGUUAGUGGUAGUAGGUGGUGAUUUAUUUUAAGUGGAUGUAAUGAUGAAACUUAGUUGUAUUCCAACUAAGUUGUCAAGUUGUAAGCUUGUAUAAAUAGGCUUUAUGCCAUUUUAAAAAAUAUGAAUGAAUUCAAUCAAGAUUUCAUCCAUAUACUCUCUAUUUUAGCUUUGCUUAAAAUUUAUUUCAUUUUUCUUCUUUGUUUCUGCCGCAAGUCUCGAUUCUUGCUCAUCAAGCUUUUUGUUGAACCUUGCUAUUUGUUGCACUUAGCUCCAACAAACUUUCACAAGCACUUUCUCGAGCUAUUGCAGCCUCAAACAUCUCAAUAAUUAUAUUAUCAUUAGAUUAUGCUUCUUCAAAAUCGUGCCUGGCUGAACUCUCUGACAUCAUGGACUACAAGCGCACUCAAGGACAUACUGUUCUUCCCAUUUUUUAUCAUGUUGAUCCUUCCCAUGUUCGGAAUCUUGGUGGAAGUUUCAAAACUUCCUUUGAUGAUCAUGAAUCAAAAAGGCUACGUCAGGUACAACGAUGGAAAGCUGCCUUCGUUGAAGUGGGAAAAUUAAAAGGGUGGCAUAUAGAAGGAGGCAAAUUUGACAGGUAACUAUAUUUUUCUCACCUUCUUAUAUUUGACUAAUCUUUGUUUUAGAUUUCAUUUAUAUUUAUUUAUUGUUUGUUUGCUAGACCUGAAACAGAGUACAUCAAGGAUAUUGUUGAAUAUGUUAUAAAAAUGUUGAUGAGUAGCAAAUCUAGACAUGUUUAUGAAGAACUGGUCGGAAUAGGUUAUCAGAAAGAUGCAAUUUCGAGGCUGAUUGAGCAAGAAGGCAGCCGUGUAAUAGGACUCUGGGGAAUGGGUGGUAUAGGCAAAACAACCCUUGCUGAUGCAGUUUAUAAGGAAAUGUCUCCAAAUUUUGAAAGCUGCUGGUUUCUUCAAAAUGUUAGUGAGAAAAUAAAAAAACAAGGAAAGGAAUCUUUACGAAAUGAUCUUCUCUCCAAACUGUUAAAUGAAAAAGAUAUUCGUAUAGAUACUCCUUUGAUAGGAUACCCUUACCAAGAGAGGCUGAACAAUAAAAAAGUACUUGUUGUGCUCGAUGAUGUUAGUCACCAAGACCAAAUAACUAUUAUGGGUGUUAGACAUUUUGGUGAUGGAAGUAAAAUCAUUGUAACAUCUAGAGAUAGAAAAGUACUUGAGAAUGGAGAAGCUGAUCAAAUUUAUGAGGUAAAGAAGUUAAAUGAGAUUGACUCUCUUCAGCUAUUUUCUACUUGUGCGUUUAAGCAGUCGAAUCCUGAUGCUGAUUUUCGAGACCUAUCAAUAAGGUUUGUAGAGUACACACAAUACAAUCCACUUGCUCUAAAAGUUUUGGGUUCCCAACUAUAUAAAAGGUCUAGAGAAUAUUGGAAAAGCGAGAUGGAUAAGCUAAAGGAAUAUGGCCAACCAGAAAUUUCAAAUAUUUUGAAGAGAAGCUUUGAUGGGCUUGAUGAACAAGAAAAGAAUAUAUUCCUUGAUAUUGCAAUCUUCUUAAAAGGGGAACUUAAGGAAAAUGUAGAAAAAAUUCUAAGUAGUUGUUAUAAUGGCGCAAAGUCUAGCAUCAGAAACUUGAUCGACAAGUGCCUACUAGAUAUCACACCUCUUCCUAUUUCUUUGCGUGAUAUACUUGAAAUUCGCAGUAAGUUUCCCAAGAGAAAAGCAGAAGAGAUUGCAAGUUUCCCAGACAGAGGUGCAUUAGAUGAUCGAAGAAACAGCCUCUUGGAUGAGAUUCCGCGAUGUAUUUCUAUGCAUGAUAUGCUUGAGCUGAUGGGCAAGGAUAUUGUUCACCAAGAAUCUAGAGCUCCUGGAAUGCGCAGUAGGUUAUGGAAUCCUAAUGAAGUAAAGCAAGUGCUGAAAAAUAAUAAAGUAAGUAUUAAUUGUACUCAUGUUUCUUUUUAUAUUUUUUUAUAUAUUUGUGUGAUUUUUUCCUAGGCUUAUAAAAUUUUAUUAAUAAUAAAGAUCCGAAAACGGGAAUAGAAAAAAAAAAACCAACUCAACAAUAUAUAUAUAUAUAUAAAAUCUAUGUACAAAAAAAAAAUACCAUUAAAAACAUGCCCAUUCCACCAAAAGAGCAAUCAGAAAUCACUUCUAGUCACCAUAACCCAUGUCGUGUAAAACAUUUACUAAAUCAAAUCACAUCCAAUUGAAAUCAGGAUUAUAAAAAUUAAUUACUUGUAUUUAGUUUUAAUUGAUAGAGAUAGAAGAACUUCAACUCCAAUAAUUCAAACUAUUUUUAAAUUGAUUUGAUAAUUCGAAUAACUCAUUAAAAUUAAACUGAUUAAUUUAAAAGUUGAUUUUUUUUUGUUUUUCCAAGGAGAAAAUUGAAUUUUACUCAACCUCCCUAAGUCAUUGAUCAUUAUGUGUAUGGUAUGUAAAUAAAGAUUUUAUUUUUUAAAUAAUAUUUAAUAGAAUUAAUAUUUGUCACAUAGUAAAUGUAUAAAUCUAUAUAGUAAACAGCACUAUUGGUCACAUAAGUUUUUGUUUUAAUCAUGUAAUUAUAAAAAAAAUUAUUUUCAUUACCGACGUUUUUAACAUCAAGUUUCUUUUUUUUUUUUAUCAUUCCUCGAUUAUUAAUUAUUAAUGGAAGUACGAUAGGUCUCUUUUUUAUUGGAAUAAUAGUAAAUUUAGUUCUCAAUAUUUAUAUAUUUUUUUCAAUUUGAUAAAAUGUGUAAACCUUGAGGAUUAAUUUAUUCUUAUUCUAAUUAAAAAAAGACGCAUCAUCAUUCUGUUGAUGAUCUUUUAUCAAAUUUAGCCCUCACUAUUUGUAUCUAUUAUCAUUUGAGUCCUUAUACUUUUUAAAAAUAAGUAAAUAAGAACAAUUGAAAUAAGUAUUUCUUACCCUAUACUCUUCCAAUAUAUUCUUUUAUCAAUAUUUCAUAUCUAUGACAAGAGAAAAAAGGAGAAGGAAAUUUUCAAUCGAAAAAUGAGUGGAGUGGCAAAUUAAGUCUUUAGUCGGCACUAAUUCUAAGUUCCAUCAUUAGAAAAUCUUACAUCCUUCUGAAAUUUAUGUACUCUAAUUUAAAAUUUAGUUAAAUAAUAAAAUUCACCAAUUUAGUUAAUUAAAAUUUUCUUUUCAAUUAUUUUUAUCAAAUGUUAACCCUAAUCUUAAGUUAUUACAUGGAUCUACUAAGGGUUUUAUUAGAUUAAUUAAAUAUCUACUGUAUUGUUUUAUACAAUAAAAUUAAACACUUUUUAAAUCUAAAACUUCUUGUAAUAAAAAAGUAUAAUAAAAAAGUAUGGUCAAUUAGUUUAAGCCUUAUUUAAUCUCUAAUGAGUGAUUUAAUGGAAUGCCUGAUACUUGUUUCUUGUUAUUAGGGGACAGAAUUUAUUGAAGGAAUAAAAUUAGACAUGUCUCAGAUUGAUAAACUACGAUUAUGUUCUUCUGUUUUUGAGAACAUGUUUAAUCUUAAAUAUAUCCACUUCUAUUUUCCUCCAUUUAUUGGAAAGCAACGAAAGAAGAAGCUACAUGUAGACCAAGUUGGCGAUGUAUCUCUUCCUGAUGAGCUAAGACUUCUCUGUUGGGAGUAUUACCCAUUUAGGUCUUUAUCAUCAAGUUUUGAUCCAAAGAAUCUUGUUGUGUUAAAAUUACCUCAUGGUGAUAUGGAACAACUUUGGAAUGAAGAUGAUCAUCAGGUAAUUUAUUCAUACUUUCUUGGUCCAAUAAAUUAAAAAAAAAAAGUGUGACAAAUGCCAACCCUUAUUAUAAUUAUUAUAAUUUUUUUUAUACUGCCCAAAGUAGUAAGUAGACAAUGCUAAGUAAUAAAGCUAUUUUAUAUUUUCAUUGCGCAGGAUCUUAUUAAUUUAAGAAAAAUUGUCCUUUCGAAUUGCAAGAAUUUAAAGAAGAUCCCUAAUCUAUUAGGAGCCAUCAACCUUGAAAUCCUUUGCUUUAAUGGGUGCAACAGUUUGGUUGAGCUUCCUGGCUUCAGUGAUUUGGCAUCUCUCAAAACGCUUCAGCUUCAUGGAUGUUAUAAUCUUACGAAGUUUCCUGAGCUCCCAAAUGAUGUUUCUUUCUUAGAUUUAGCAGAAACUGGAAUAGAAGAAGUGCCAGAUUCAAUUGAGCAUAUCGCUGGACUUGAAACAUUGUUAUUGGCAAAAUCAAAGAUAAAUAAUGUAUCGUGCAAUAUUUCGAAGUUGGAAUGCCUUCGUUAUCUGGAUUUUAGUCAUUGCCUAGUCGCCGAAUUCCCAGAAAUUCUACGAAGACCCGAGCUUGAAAGGGCUGAAGGAGCAACCUAUGCAUUUUCAUUGUCACUCGAUUUCCCCCUCCCUGAUUGGAGAAAGGUUCCGAUAGUUCAUGUGCCCCCCAAAAUCCUAAAGUUUAAAAGCCUUGAAUAUUUGAAAAUGGAUCAUUGCGAGAGUCUUAAAUUACUUUCGGAGCUUCCACCAUAUUUGCGGUACUUGGAUGCACAUGGCUGCAAAUCGCUAGAAAAAGUAUCGUUCACAGAUCGAAAUCAAGAUCAAUAUGAACUCUAUUCUUUUUACGGUAAAGAUGAGUUCUUUAUGAUAUUCUCUGAUUGCUUCAGCUUGAAUCAAGUUUCAAUUAAAAACAUUGAAGCAAAUGCCAUGCAAAAAAUUGAAUCACUUGUAAAGAAAUGGAGAUGUAAAUAUGAUUAUGGUCCAAAAUCAUUGUUUUGCUGUUUCCCAGGGAGCGAAAUUUCAGCCAGUAAAUUCGAGUAUCAGAGGAUGAAUUCUUCGUUGAAGUUGCAGAUAACCCCAAAUGAGUUUAGUGGGAGCAGAUUCUUGAGUUUUGCUAUCUGCCUUGUGGUUGAUCUCAAGUAUUGCCAUAAAUACAAUAAAGAUCUUCGAUGUAUCUGUGAAUACCAACUAACAGCCUUCGAUGGUUGUUAUGAAAAGUUCGAAUGUGAGUGGGGUUACAAGCUAGAUUUUGAGUUACAUCGAAAGUACAUGGGUGAUCACGUGUUGAUUCUAUUCAGUGACAAAAUGAUUAAAAAAGACGACGAUUAUGUGGAGGCAUCAUUUGAAUUUUAUAUAAAUAAAUGCUACUACAAAGGCGAUGCUGAAGUUGAUGAUAUCAAGGUCAAAAAAUGCGGUGUUCAUGUAUAUUAUGUGGCUGAAAACAACAAAGGUCCAAUUAGUCCUUAUACCAUGCAAAUGUGAGGACCCGAUUGGAGCCCCUCCAACGGAGCAUCAGAACUUAACGUCAGCGCUGGCCACGAGGGAAAACAGUAAAAUCACUAGGGACAACGGAAACAAAGGGGGAAAAAGGAGGAAAUUUGUUCAUGACUUAAAGGGUUGAUAUUGCAUCUCUUCCUUAGGUGCUAAGGUAAACUUUCCACCUAUUCCCUAUAUAUAUAUAUGUUAAUUUGAAAGACUGCUUUUGUUUGAGACUGGUUUUUCUUAUAAUAACCUAUGCUUUUAUGAUGGUGUAGGUGUUUGUUGUGGUAUAUCUUAGACUACAUAAUGAAUAGUCUCUUCAAUUUUCCCUCACUUUCAAUGCAUUUUGUUAUGUUUCUUAUGCAUAUCUUUUACAAUUAUAUGACUCAUUAUCAAGAUUUGGUAGUCUAAGGUGUUGUUUGAUAAUUUAUUAAAAAAUUUAAAUUGACUGAAAAUUAAUAUUUUUAAUGAUUUAAUUUUUUAAUCAUUUUUGAUAAUUCAUAAUAAAAAAGUAACUCAUAAAUUUUUUUUUUAUGAUGAUAAGUAGAUAAGGAGCUACUAAGUAGCAUUUAAUAUAAAAAAAUUCAAUUCUUUUUAUCUUAUUUUCUUUGUUUUAACAUUUAAAAUUUGAUAUUAUGAAAGGGAAUGAAGAUGGAAGUGACUGCUGUAAGCAAAUCAUAUGAGAAAACAGAGAGCCAAGAGAGAACUAAUGGCAGAUCUAUGGAAAGGCCAUUAUACUUUGAGCUUUAGCUAUACAAAAUAUCAGAGGAACAUGUAAGCUUUUAAUUUUUUAAGCUUUUAAUUUUUUCUACUGAAACGUUUGCUUCACACUUGUUCUUGAACUGAGAUAUUGAGACAGUACUGCAAUUUGUGAACAGAUUGCUUUGUUUUUGGACCUACAGAGGAACCGUAUGCUCUUGAGAAUUUAGCCUUCCUAGAAAAGAAAAUUAAGAACUUCAAAGUGAAGGGUUUGGUUUCAUGGUAGAGCCAUUCAACUUGAUUAUCACAUCAUCUUGGGCUGAAACUUGAAUGAAGUUUCCUUUUUUCAAGAUUAUGAGAGAUUGAAAUUUGAUUUUUGUAAUUAAAAUUCUAGAGUUUUACUCUGUUUUUGGAUUGAAAGGAUGCAAUAGUGGAAUUGGUAGUCACUAAAUGAGUGUCAUUUAGCAACUUGCAGAUUUUGUUGUGUUCAAUCUACUUGGAUUUGCAGGGAUAAAUCUAUUGAAUCAAAUUUUGUUUUGUUGUACAUUAGGUAAUUAAAAUAAGGAAAACUAUGUCAUACAUUGUGCCUAACCUUUGCAUUAUUAUUAUUUUAUUCUAUUGUUAACCUUUUCCUCUUGGAAUCAAAUGUACAAAUAUAAGAAACAAAUUGAAGUUUAAUGAACUUGAGAAUUCUCUUAUCUUGAUAAUCAUCCCAAAGCUUAAAUCCCUUAAAAUUGGCACCUUUCCACAUAUUAGUAUUUAAGGGGUUUUCCCCCCUAGAUUAGUACUUAGGAUUUUUUUGUAAAUUAUUUUGGUAACACCAUUUAAUUUGAAACACGUUACACUCUCAAAUCAUGACAUGUGUCAAUGAUGAUAUCAAUUCUAAUGACAUAAAAUUGGAAAUUUCUUUAAUAGUUUGUGAUAGUUGCUUCUUUUUUUCUCAUCUCCAUUCCCCUGUUGUGUCUUUGUUCUUUUGUAGAUAUAGCAUAUAUUGUCCAAGAUGGGAAUUCUCCAUAUAUAUUAAUUAAUUUGGAGGAAAAUUGAACGGCAGUUGGAGAUUUUAAUACAGUAGCAAAAUGAUUCUGCUUUGGAGUUGAUACAAUAUCCAUAGGGGAUUUUGGUGAGUACCAAAAUUCAGAUAUUAAAAUUCAUACUUAAUUCUUAUUGAGAGUUGACUUGUUAUUGGUUGGUUUUUUUUUUAAAUCAUAGGACCAAUGGUGGACUCGAUUCAGCUUCAUUGUUUAGUUUCCAGCAUUGGUGUCAUCUGGUAUCUCAAAACUCGCUGCAUUUUCGUUCAAUCAUAGCUUGAUUCAUUAGAAAAGAUUGGUUAUUUGCGAGAUUGGUUUUUCUUAUAUCCUUUUCUUUUUUGUUGAUGUAAGACUAGGGAAUGAUAGAUCAUUGAGAACACCUGAGCUGUAAGACCUUCAAUUUGUUUUACUGAAUUCAAAGUAAUCUUUUGAGGCCCUUUCUGGUUCUGGCAAUUCAGUCUUGGUGGAGAAGUAAGUUACCUUUGACUUAGACUUAUUAUUAUGAUUUUAGGUUCAUAUAAUGAUUUUCAGCAUCCUCACCUUCUUUUCCCAUAUUUAUCAAUGGGAUUAUAUAAAUCCAGAAUUUGCUAGAGAUCUCAAAGCUUGUGGGCUGAACACAUGGAGGUGGAGACAACUUUUGACAGUUUUCAUUCUCUAGCUAGAUUGGGUUAGUUUCAUGGUAGAGCCAUUGGAGUCGAUAUUUUCUUAUCUUGGAUUUUGAUUAUCAUAUCAGUUUGGACUGAAAUUUCUUUGUAUGUUACUGCCUCUCAUGUUGUUUGAGCAUUGCAGUGAAGACAUAUUAAGAUUCAUACUUGAAUUCUUGUUGGCAAUUGACUUGUUAUUGGUUGGUUUUGAUUCAUAGGAUCGGUGGUGGAUAUCAUCCAGCUUAAUUGUUUAGGUUCCACCAUUGGUGCUCAAGCCAUGGGCAGUAAGUAGAGAUUUAAUCAUAUUGUAUCUCAAUACUCUCUGCAUUUUACUUCAAUGAUUCAUUCACCCAUUGAUUUAUGUUUCAUAUUUCCUUAAAACGUUAGUAAAUAUAUAUAUAUAUGUUUUCAGUUCAUGAUUUCUGAUCUAUAUUCAUGUUAGCUAAGGUAAACCUACCAACUAUUCCCCAUAUAUAAUCUAUUGGCUAUGUUUUAUUAUUUUGAAUUUUAUGACUAUGAUCUGUUGAUUCCAUAAAACUUGAUGAAAGUCAAGCCGGACACAAGUUCAAUACUCUACUGGAAUUGAAGUUGCAGAUUAUGGGUGGUUUUGAUAUCUUCUUUCUCACCAACAAAUGAAGUUCCCACAAAAUUACUGGUGUUAAGGUGAAUGUUGUGAAUCAAUGCAAAACCCACAUUUAUAGAUGUGCCCUUUUACCUAGAGAUUAAGCUUUUUACUUUUUGAAUUUGGUAAUGUGAAGGAAAUAAAGAUGGCAAUGGUUGAUGAAAGGAAAGCAGAUGAGGGAAUAAAUCACAGAUGUUUGUAACAAGUAAGCUUUUAUGAUGUUCAAUUUCUUCUACUGAAGGAUUUCUUUAUAUUGCGGUUGAAUUGAGAUAUUGAAGCAGUACUGCAACUUUUCAACAGAGUUGUCUUGUUCAUCCCAUCCAGCUUUGCUUCAACGCUUUCUGGAUUUUGAUCAUUGAGAGGAAGCACAUGAUCUUGGGUAAAUUACUUUUAACUCAUUCUGAUUAUUAGUAUAGUCAUGGCAUUCUUUUCCCUUGAUUUACCAAUGGAUUAUAUAAAUGCAUGCAGAAUUAGGCAGAGUUGCUCUUAUCUGAAAACAAGUUGAAAGAACACAUGGAACUUGGAUGUUAUUUUCAAUGCCAACCCUAACACAGUUUUCAUUCUCAAGCUGGAUUGAUGAGCUUUUAUGUUUACCCCAUAGAGGAACCCAACAUAAACACUUGGAAGAAAACAAUCCAAAUGAUUUUGGUUUAGUUGGAACUUCAAAGUGCAGAGCUGGUUUCAUGGUAAAACCAUUUGACUUGAUUGUUAUAUCAGUCUGGGCUAAAAUUUGAAUCAAUUUUCCCCUUUUGUAAUUAAAAUUCCAGAAUUUUGCUCUGUUUUGGAAUUGAAAGGAUGCAACAUUGGAAUUGGUUUGUACAUUCGUUUUUAUGAGAUGGUAUCCAACAAGUUCAAGAUUCGUAGCUUAGUAAUUAAAAUAACUUUCUGUAACACUAAACUAUGAUCUACCAUAAGAAAAAACACAAAUUUUAUACUUCUCUGAUUAUUUUAUAAUGCCAUGUGACUUAAAAUUUUAGUAAUUAAAAGGAUUCUGCUUUGGAGUUCUAAAAAAUAUCCAUGCGAAGCCGUGGUGGGUACCAUAGUUUAGAUAUGAAGCUUCAUACUUAAAUUCUUUUAGGCAGUUGACUUGUUAUUGGCUGGUUUUAACUCAUAGGAUCAGUGGUGGACUUCAUUCAGCUUCAUUGUUUAGUUUCCAGCCUUGGUUCUUAUGCCAUAGGGAGUAGGUGUAGCUGUUGGAACAUUGGCAGCAACAUAAGCAAGAAUGAAAACAAAAGCCAAAGAAGGAAUUGAAAAAUGAAAGAGAAAGUUUGAACAAAGUUGCAACCGAAUGAAAAUCAUUUUCAUUGAUUGAAAAUUAAAAAAAUUUAUGAGUUACAACCAUGUUUGACAGUUACCUAAUAGUUGUAACUGCUCUCACUAAUACUAGACAAACAUAAUCUUUGAAUUACAAGUAAAAGUAAGCUAACAUUUCAGCUAUUACAUCAAGUACCAAUCAAAAAACUAAUCCAACUAGAUUGUGAUCAAAUUACAAUCAAACUAAACUAAGUUACAUAGGAACAAAAUGAACAAAAUGGUCCAAAGCUAGCUGCUGCAUUCGGUUCUACUCCUUGCUGGUCUGCUUGUUGAGCUGCUGGUCACAUGUUGCAUUGCAGGCCAAUGCUCAACACUCCUCCUUGGACUAUAUGCAACAUACACCAAUCUUGCUUCUUAAAACCUCGAACCUUGUUGCACCAAGUGGCUUAGUCAAAAUGUCAGCCUAUUGGUCUUGUGAGCUGCAAUGAACAAGACUGAUUUCUUCUGAUUGCUCAGCUUCUCAAACAAAGUGAAACUUGAUCUUAAAAUGCUUGGUUCUUCCAUGAAAAACUGGAUUCUUAGCAAUAGCCACUGCUGAUUGGUUGUCAACUUUGACUUCAGUAGGUUCACAUUGCUCUUCAUUUAGAUCGCAUAGCAACUUUCUAAGCCAAAUGGCUUGAUUCACUGCUGCUGCUGCUGCAAUAUAUUCUGCUUCAGCUGUGGAUUGAGCAACAGUUUGUUGCUUCUUAGAACUCCAACAAAAAACUCCUGAACCAAGAGUAAAGAAGUAGCCAGAAGUGCUCUUCAUGUCAUCAACAGAACCAGCCCAGUUACUAUCUGAAUAUCUUGUUAGCUUGAGCUCAUUUUCCUUCUUAAACAUGACUCCAUGGUUCAGAGUCCCUUUGAUGUAUCUGAGGAUUUUUUAACUGCCUUGAGGUGAAUUACAUUGCAGCACUGCAUAAAUCUUGAUAGGAGACUAACACCAAACAUAAUAUCAGGCCUAGUUGCUGUUAAGUAAAGCAGGCAACCUACUAGGCUUCGAUAUUCUUUUUCAUCAACUCUUGCUUCAAUCCCAUCACUGGACAACUUCUCCCCUUGUGCUACUGGUGUGCUUACUGAUUUGCAGUUUGACAUGUAAAAUCUAUCAAAGAUCUUUAAUGCAAAAGCAUGUUGGCUGAUAAAAAUGCUUUGAUCAGACUGGUUCACUUCCAUACCAAGGAAGUAUGUCAUAAUUCCUAGGUCUGUCAUCUCAAAUACUUCCAGCAUUUGCUCUUCAAAUUCAUUGAUCAAUUCAUCUUUGCUUCCAGUCACAAGUAGAUCAUUUACAUAGAGUGACACAAUCAGUAAGGUUUCACCUUCUGAUCUCUUCACAUAGAGUGUGGCUUCACUGACACUCUUUUCAAAUCCAAGCUUAGACAGGUAGGUGUUUAUUCUGUCAUACCAGGCUCUUGGUGCCCGUUUCAGGCCAUACAAGGCUCUCUUUAAUCUAUAAACCUUGUCUUCUUGUCUUUGGACUUUAAAGCCUUCUGGCUGCUCUGUGUAAAUUUAUUCCUUGAGAAAACCAAUCAAGAAAGCUGAUUUGACAUCAAGUUGAUGAAUCUUCCAUUGUUUCUAUGCAGCCAAAGUAAACAAAAGCUUGAUUGUGUCAAGCCUUGCUACUGGAGCAAAUGUCUCUAUAAAGCCAGUGCCAUAUUGCUGACUAUAGCCCUUCACCACCAACAUUGCCUUGUGUUUGUUCAAAGAGCAAUCAGAGUUGAAUUUGGCUCUAAAAACCUACUUGACACCUAUGACUUUCUAUUGGUCUAGUCUAUCAACCAAGUCCCAUGUCUCAUUCUUCUUGAUCAUCUCAAGCUCAGCUUCCAUAACCUUUCUCCAGCAUUUGUCCCUUGCAGCAUCUUCAUAGCUAGAUGGCUCAACUAUAGCAACAUUGCAUCUGUGCUAAAUGUCAGCAAUGGUUCUGGUUCCUCUCACAAGAGGAUCAUCGAUGUCUGCAUUUUCUGGUCUAUUCUCAGCUAGCUCUGGGCUGAUGUCAAAUUGGUCUUCAUCAAACUGGCUUGCAUCUGAACCUUCCCAAUUCCAAAACUUUUCCUCAUCAAAUUUGAUGUCCUUGCUCACCAAAAUCUUCUUUUUUUGAGGGGUCAUACACUCUGUAGCCCUUUUUGGUAUUGCUGUAGCCAACAAAUAUACCAUGAGCAAACUUUCUCUCAAGUUUAGUUCUACUUUCAGCUAGAAUAAGCACAUAGCACACACAUCAACAGAUGGCUUGAGUCCAUGCCAGGCUUCAAAAGGUGUUUUGUCCUUCAUUGCUCGAGUUGGAAGCUUGUUGAGCAAAUAUACUGAGGUAUUGACUGCCUCAGCCCAAAAUUUGUUUGGAAGUUUGCUUUGAAAUAGCAAAAAUCUGGCCAUAUCCAUCACUGUUCUAUUCUUCCUUUCACAAACUUCAUUUUGCUGUGGAGUGUAAAUAGUGGUUAGCUGAUGAUGGAUCCCUGCCUGCUCACAAAGCUUUUGAAACCUCUCAAACAAGUAUUCAGCCUCAUUGUCAAUUCUCAAGGACUUAAUCUUACAACCUGUUUGGUUCUCUACUAAUGCCUUGAAUUUGCCAAAAGCUUCAAAGACUUCAGACUUCUGUUUCAUGAAGUAGACCUAGCAAAAUCUGGUCAAAUCAUCAAUGAACAGCACAAAAUACUUGUUGUCAUUCAAAGAAAGGGACUUCAUUGGUCCACAAACAUCAGAGUGCAUCAGCUCAAGCCUUUCUCGAGCUCUUCAUGCCUAGUUCAUUGGAAAAGGCAAUCUAGCUUGUUUGACAAGCUGACAAACUUCACAAACAGUCUCCCUUGCCUCAACUUUGCACAUAUCAUCUACCAAAUUCAUCUUAUGCAACAGAUCAAGUGAUCUGAAAUUACAAUGGCCUAGUCUUCUAUGCCAUAGGCCAGCAUUAUCAGCUAAGCUUGUAUAAGCUUUCUUCUCAAGUUGGUUCACAUCAAGCUUGAAACAUUUGUCUACCAUGCCUACAGUAAUCAUCUCCUGGCCAGGGAAGUCCUCAAUAACACAUGAACCAUUCUUGAAAACUAGAGAAUACCCUUUUUCAACUAACUGACCAACACUCAACAAGUUCUGAUCAAUGUCAGGUACAAAAAGCACAUCUGAAAUGACUCUGAACCAGUGUUGAUCACAACAUUCCCUUUGCCUUUGGCUUCAAUCAGACUCCUAUUGCCUAUUCUGAUUUUUUAGGCAUAGCUUCUGUCAAGAUCUUUGAACAUGCUUUCAUCAGCUGCCAUGUGAUGUGUGUAGCCACUAUCCAUCAGCCAAUUGCAUUUGACCUUGCUUGUGGUAGUAAAGCUUGAGGCUGUGAAAACAUGCUCCUCCUGAGCUUGAAGGUCCUCAGCAGCUUGAGCCUGAAUCUGCUGCUGUACCGGUGCCUUUGCUUUGUUUUUACAAACUUUCUCAACAUGGUCAAACUACUUACAGUUUCUACAUUGGAUGUCUGGCCUAAACCAGUAAUAUUUUUCCAAGUGUGUGGUCUUUUUGCAGUGGACACAUGGUGGAUACCUCCUCUUGCCUGAAUCCUUCCUUGGUUUGUCCCUCUUGUCAAGCCAAGGCUUCUUUCCUUUCUGCCUUGUGUUGGAGCUUUCUUUGGCCUUUGCUUGGAAGGCUCCUUCAGGAUGAUCUUCCUGCCUGUUAGCCCUUCUCUGCUCCAAAGCAUAAAGAGAGUUCACCAAUUCUGCAAGGAAAUGGUUGUCAAGUCCCUUGAAUCCUUAAGUGAUGAGAUUUUAGACUCAAAUCUCUCAAGAAGAGUGGUGAUGAACUUCACCACAACUCUGCUCUCACUGAAGUCUUCACCAAGCAACCUUAUGCUAUUGACAGUGGCCAUGAUCCUGUCUGAAUAUUGCUUGAUGCUCUCAGAUUCUUUCAUUUUCAGGUUCUCAAAAUCUCUCCUCAAGUUAAUCACUUGUUACUACCUUAUUUUAUCUAAUCCCAUAAACUCCUCCUUCAGCCUCUCCCAUGCUUCCUUAAGUGUGCUGCAAGCCAUGAUUCGAGUGAAGAUUACAUCUGUCACUCCAUUUUGCAAUCAGGCCAAGGCUUUGUGCUUCUUUGUGCUCUCCUCAGCAUGCUGCCUCAUCUGAGCAAUUAUGGAUUAGCCCUCAAUGGAGGUGUCUCGAAAUCAUUCUCAACUACACUCCAUAAGUCUUGUGCUUGAAGGUAUGUUUUCAUUUUGACUACCCAAAUGUGGUAGUUCUUACCAUCAAACACUGAAGGUGGAGGUGGAGUGAAACUGGAGGUGGAGGUAGAGUGAAACUCAUCCUGCUGAAAUAAGUUUAACAACUUCAAACUCUUGCUUCUCGUACUUUUGUUUUCUCAAAAAAUAAAACAACCAACAACAAAGGCCUCCCAAGACUUAGGCUCUGAUUACCAUUUGUUGGAACAUUGGCAGCAACAUAAGCAAGAAUGAAAACAAAAGCCAAAGAAGGAACUGGAAAAUGAAAGAAAAAGUUUGAACAAAGUUGCAACCAAAUGAAAAUCAUUUUCAUUGAUUGAAAAUUCAAAAAAUAUAUAAGGUACAAACAUGUUUGACAGUUACCUAAUAGUUGUAACUGCUCCCACUAAUACUAGACAAACAUAAUCUUUGAAUUACAAGUAAAAGUAAGCUAACAUUUCAGCUAUUACAUAAAAUACCAAUCAAAAAACUAAUCCAACUAGAUUGUGAUCAAAUUACAAUCAAACUAAACUAAGUUACAUAGGAACAAAAUGAACAAAAUGGUCCAAAGCUAGUUGCUGCAUUCGGUUUUGCUCCUUGCUGGUCUGCUUUUUGAGCUGCUGGUCACAUGUUGCAUUGCAGGCCAAUGCUCAAUAGUAGCUUUAUUGUUUAGUUUCCAGCAUUGGUCUUAAUACUCACUUUAUUUGCUUGCUUAUGUCCUUGGUAUUUGUUGUGCUUUUUACUUGCUAGUUUAAUGCAACGUAACAUAUGUUAACCAAAACAGAGUGUCAAUAGAGAAUGGAUGGUAGUUCUUUGGAGAUGCCAUUAUGUUUGGAGUUUUACCUAUAAUAGAAAAAAGAGGAGCAAGUAAGCUUUUCAAGAGCUUCAAUUUCUUCCGAUGAAUGCUUGCUUUAUGUUUGUGCAUGAACUGAGAUAUUGAGGCAGUACUGCAACUUGUCAACAAAUUUGCCUUCUUGAUCUUAUUCAACAUUGAGCCAAUGCAAAUUGAAGCCAUUUCCUAAGCUCUUUCUGCUUUUUGAACCUUCAGAGGAACCAUAUGCUCUUCGGCAAUUUAGCCUUCCUAGAGAGGUAAUUUACCUUUGUUUCAGUGUGAUGUUUUUAGCAUCCUCAUGACCUCUUUCCUCUAAUUUAUCAAUUGGUUUAUAUGAAUUCAGAAUUUUCCCUAAUUUAUCAUUGUGAUAAAUAAUUGAUACUAAUAUUAUAUGAAAAUAACUAAAAAGGUACCCCUCGCCUCACCGUUCUUUCCCUCUCCAUAUAUUAAAAAUUUAUCUAUACUUUUAUUUAAUUAGGCCUUUUUGGUCUGUAUUAUUUUUCAUUUCCAUUUUAGCUUUUUUUUUUCUCCUUCAUUGUAAUACUUUUGUUUCCUGCUUUAAUUCUAGAGAAUUGUCAAAUUGAACUGAACUGAAGACCAAAAAGGUGAUAAAUUUUGAGGGACGAGGGGUUAUUUUUUAUUUUAAUAUUAAUAUAAUUAAUUUUUAUUUAAUAUUAACAUAAAAUAAAUUUUUAAUUAUAUUUUAACGGGUGACAUGAUAAUUUUUUGAUUGGCUGACUGUGAUGAAUAAAUGCUAACUUAGAUUACAGAAUAAAAGUUUAAGUACAUAACUCAAAUGAAUAAAAUUUUUUAAGGUUUUUCUAGUUGAAUUGAGCCUCUAUUUAUUUUCUCAUUAUGAAUGUGAUGUGCGUACUUUGUUGAUAAUUCGGACCACCAGAUUUGAUGUAACCAAAUUCUACUUUAAUGGAAAUGUAUGAUGAUUGGACGCAAAAAUUAACCUUUUUGACUAACGAAAAAGGAUAAAAGAAAUAGCCUUUUUCUGGGAUAAGGCAGUGGAAUGGAAGUUUCCCGUUCUUCUAAAAACUCUGGGGACAUCUAAAAACGUAAAAAAUUUAUAUAUUAAAUACAUAAAUAAUCAUAUUUAUUUAAUAUAAAAAUAAAUUAAUGUAUUUUUUUAUUUAAAUUAUUUUCUCUUUUUCUUUUUUACACUUGUUCUUCUUAUAAUAACACCACAAUCCAAGCAAAACUCACUGUACAAAAUUAAUAUAUAUUUUAAUUUUAAUUUGAAAAUUUAAUUUUAAAGUAAUAUAAUUAAAAUUAAUUACUAGUUGAAUAUUUGAUUCAGUAUUCAAAACUCAGGGAUAAAUACUAGAAAGUUCAUGCCACCUGUAAAGGACUCAGUCUAAUAAAAAUAAGAAGAUAGCAAAGAUGAUGGAUAUUUCACUCUUUAUCUUCUCACAAUAAUACCAAAGAUGAUGCUACGAUCAUAAUUCUUUUCAUUCUUCUUCAAAAGUACGAAAACAAAGCUCCCAUGGUGCAUCUCUUUUGCCUCAAUCGCACAAUCCAUACUCUUUGACUUCUUCUUCUUCUUCUCUUUUGCCUCAAUCAGACAAUCCAUACUCUUUGGCUUCUUCUUCUUCUUCUCUUUUGCCUCAAUCAGACAAUCCAUACUCUUUGGUUUCUUCUUCUUCUUCUCGUCAAAUGAAGCACCAAGUUUUCUUGAGCUUCAGAGGUGAAGACACACGCCUUAACUUCACCAGUCAUCUACACAAAGCUUUGAAGGACAAGGGACUGAAUGUCUUCUUCGAUGAAGAAAAACUAGAGAAAGGGGAGCAACUUUCACCAGCACUUUCUCAAGGAAUUGCAGCCUCAAAUCUCUCAAUCCUUGUUUUAUCUAAAGACUAUGCUUCUUCAAAAUCGUGCCUAGCUGAACUCUCUGCAAUCAUGGACCGCAAGCAGACACAAGGACAUAUUGUUCUUCCCAUCUUUUACCAUGUUGAUCCUUCCCAUGUAAGAAAUAUUGGUGGGAGUUUUACAACAUCCUUUGAAGAGCAUGAAUCGAAGAGGCCAGUUGAUGAAGUUGAUGAAGUGAAGCGAUGGAAAGCAGCCUUUGCUGAAGUUGGUAACUUAAAAGGGUGGCAUAUAGGAGGAGACAAAUCUGACAGGUAACUAUAUUUUUCUCACCUUCUUAUAUUUGAGUUACCUUUGUUUUGGAUUUCAUAUAUCUAUGUAUAUUUAUUUAUUUAUUGUAUGCUAGACCUGAAGCAGGGUACAUUGAGGAAAUUGUUAAAAAAGUUAUAGAAAAGUUGAGGAGUAGCAGAUCUAGACAUGUUUCUGAAGAACUGGUUGGAAUAGAUUAUCAGAAAGAUGCAAUUUGAGGCUGAUUGAGGAAAAAGGCAGUCGUGUAAUAGGACUCUGGGGAAUGGGUGGUAUAGGCAAAACUACCCUUGCUGAAGCUGUAUAUGAGGAAAUGUCUCAGAAUUUUGAAAGCCGUUGCUUUCUUCAAAAUGUUAGUGAGAAAAUACAAACACACGGAAAGGAAAUUUUACGAAAUGAUCUUCUUUCCAAACUGUUAAAUGAAAAAUAUAUUAAAAUAGACACUCCUUCGAUAGGAUACCCUUACCAAGAGAGGUUGAACAAUAAAAAAGUACUUGUCGUGCUUGAUGAUGUUAGUCACCAAGAUCAAAUAGCUAUUAUGGGUGUUAAACAUUUUGGUGAUGGAAGUAAAAUCAUUGUAACAUCUAGAGAUAGAACAGUACUUGACAAUGGAGCUGACGAAACUUCUGAGGUGAAGAAUUUAAAUGAGAUUGACUCUCUUCAACUGUUUUCUAUUUGUGCGUUUAAGCAGUUUGUUGUGCGGAAGCGUGUAAAAGAGUAAAAUUAUUGUACUAAAAAAUCACACUAAGUUCAAUUCCCAGGAAAGAGAGGUGGAUCACAAGGAUCGCUUAAGUACCAGGUCUUUCCUAGCCAGAAUAUCCCUCAAUCGUAAUUUAAUAGCACAAUAAAUCACUACAAUCACACACACAAUUCAUGCAGAAUAAUACAAUAAAGAACACAAGAAUUUAACGAGGUUCAGCAAAUUUUGCCUACGUCCUCGGGCACUACCAAAUAUAUUUCACUCCAAAAUACAAGUGAGAAUUUACAAAGAGAGAGAGAGAAAACAAUGUCUUAAGUAGAGAAUGGCAAGUUUGAGAUACAGAAUGAGAGAUGGUUAUGCCUAUUUAUAGUUGAGGUUCAGGGAUCAACUUGCAAAGUCACUUUACAAUUAGGGACCAUAUAUUGCAAAUAUCUCAGAUUUUAUUAUGCCAAUAUAUCGAUACCCAUAUCUUUGACUUUCCAAUAUUUGAUACCCAUAUCUUUGACUUAUUAUUUGAUACCCAUAUCUUUGAUUUUCUAUAAAUAUGGAUAAUUCCCAAUACAGUUCAAUCCUGAUGCUGAUUAUCGAGACCUAUCAAUAAAGUUUGUAGAGUACACCCAAUACAAUCCACUUGCUCUAAAAGUUUUGGGUUGCCAACUAUAUAACAAGGGUAGAGUAUAUUGGGAAAGCGAGAUGGAUAAGUUAAAGGAAUAUAUCGAACCAGACAUUUAUAAGAUUUUGAAGACAAGCUUUGACGGGCUUGAUGAACAAGAAAAGAAUAUAUUCCUUGAUAUUGCAAUCUUCUUCAAAGGGGAACCUAAGGAAAAUGUAGAAAAUAUUCUAAGUAAUUGUUAUAAUGGCGCAGAGUCUAGCAUCAGAAACUUGAUCGACAAGUGCCUACUAAAUAUUACCCCUCUUCCUAUUUCUUUGCGUGAUAUGCUUGAAAUUCGCAGUAAGUUUCUCAAGAGGAAAGCAGAAGAGAUUGCAAGUUCCCCUUCCAGAGGUGCAUUAGAUGAUCGAAGAAGUAGUUUCUUGGAUGAGAUUCCGCAAUGUAUUUCUAUGCAUGAUAUGGUUGAGCUGAUGGGCAAGGACAUUGUUCGCAAAGAAUUUAGAGUUCCUCGAAAGCGCAGUAGGUUAUGGAAUCCUAAUGAAGUAAAGCAAGUGCUCAAAUAUAAUAAAGUAAGUAUUAAUUGUACUUAUGUUUCUUUUUAUAUUUUUUUUAUAUAUUUGUAGAUACCAUGUAUAAGGUAGUAAUCCCUUGAGAACACCAAAUACCUGAACGAAAAUCGCCAAAAAGAAAAACAAAAUAAUACCAACUCAACAAUAUAUAUAUUUAAACCAAAUCACAUCCAUUGAAAUCAUUAUAAAAAUUAAUUACUUGUAUUUAGUUUUAGUUGAUAGAGAUAGAAGAUUUACUUACAACUCAACUUCAACUCCAAUAAUUCAAACUCUCAAAUUUAUGUACUCUAAUUUAAAAUUUAGUUAAAUAAUAAAACUCACUAAUUUAAUUAACUAAAAUUUUCUUUUCAAUUAUUUUUAUCAAAUGCUAACCCUAAUCUUAAGUUAUUACAUGGAUCUACCAAGGGUUUUUAUUAAAUUAAUUAAAUAUCUAAUGUAUUGCUUUAUACUAUAAAAUUAAACACUUUUUAAAUCUAAAAUUUCUUGUAAUAAAAAAGUAUGCUCAAUUAGUCUAAGCCUUGUUUAAUUUCUAAUGAGUGAUUUAAUAUAGUGCCUGAUACUUGUUUCUUGUUAUUAGGGAACAGAAUGGAUUGUAGGAAUAAAGUUAGACAUGUCUCAAAUUGGUAAACUACAGUUAUGUUCUUCUGUUUUUGGGAAAAUGCUUAAUCUUAAAUAUAUCGACUUUUAUUUUCCUCCAUUUAUUGGAAAGCAACGAAAGAAGAAGCUACAUGCAGAUCAAGUUGGCGAUGUAUCUCUUCCUGAUGAGCUAAGACUUCUUUGUUGGGAGUAUUACCCAUUUAAAUCUUUAUCACUAAGUUUUGAUCCGAAGAAUCUUGUUGUGUUAAAAUUACCUCAUGGUGAUGUACAACAACUUUGGAAUGAAGAUGAUCAUCAGGUAAUUUUUUCAUACUUUCUUCAUUCAAUAAAUUAAAGAUGUAUACCAAAUACUAUAAUAACUUUUUUUUAUACUGCACAAAGUAAGUAGACAAUGCUGAGUAAUAAAGCUAUUUUAUAUUUUCAUUGCGCAGGAUCUUAUCGAUUUAAGAAAAAUUGUCCUUACGAAUUGCAAGAAUUUAAAGAAGAUCCCUAAUCUAUUAGGAGCCGUCAACCUUGAAAUCCUUUGCUUUAAUGGGUGCAACAGUUUGGUUGAACUUCCUGGCUUCAGUGGUUUGGCAUCUCUCAAAACGCUUCAGCUUCAUGGAUGUUAUAAUCUUAAGAAGUUUCCCGAGCUCCCAAAUGAUGUUUCUUUCUU